GGCACUGCGAAGGGUGCGCCACCGAUGUCUCAUAAAGAUCAUCACCUGUUGCUUAAGCAUUGAUCACCAAGGCCAAGAAUUCAAGGCACUGGUUUUUGAGUUCAUGCCCAAUGGUAACCUAAAUGAUUGGCUGCAUCCAGCAUCCAAAAUACAGAGUCUGAGCAAUACACUCAGCUUAGCUCAGAGACUAGACAUUGCGGUAGAUAUCAUGGAUGCUCUGGAUUAUCUUCACAAUCAGUGUCAACCGCCUAUUAUCCAUUGUGAUCUCAAACCAAGUAACAUCCUCCUUGCCGAAGAUAUGAGUGCUCGGGUUGGAGAUUUCGGCAUAUCAAAAAUCCUUCCUGACGACACUAGCAAAACUCUGCUGAAUUCAGUUAGCUUCACUGGACUAAGAGGUUCCAUCGGAUAUGUCGCUCCAGGUAACAGAAACUAACACUGAUAUUGCUAUGUUCAGUUUUUAACUUCCAUUUUGCCAAGUCCAGUUAUCUCGGCAUGCACGUUGAUAAGUAGCUUGCCAUGAAUCCACUGACCAAAUAGUGUCUGAAAUCUGAAUUGACUGCAGAGUACGGCGAGGGUCGCGCUGUCUCAACUCUUGGAGAUGUUUACAGCCUCGGCAUACUGUUGCUUGAGAUGUUCACCGGGAUGAGCCCUACUGACGACAUGUUCAAAGGCUCCUUGGACCUUCAUAAGUUCGCCGAGGCCGCUCUCCCCGACAGAGCCUUGGAGGUAGCCGACCCGGCAAUCUGGUUUCAUGAAGAAGCAAAGGGCGAAGACCCUGCCACGGUGAGAAGCAGAAGCGAGAGGUGCUUGGCUUCAGUGGUCGGGCUUGGCGUGUCCUGCUCAAAGCAGCUGCCAAGGGAGCGGACGGCGAUGCGGGAUGCUGCCGCUGAGAUGCGUGCGAUCAGAGAUGCCUUCCUGGUUCAAUGUGCAACAGAGACUUGGCCUGCAGUCGGCACCACCGGCCUUGGGAGCGCAGACAGUUGAAUGGUGGACGGAGCUACGGUCUCUUGAUGAACCAAGGAGCACCGGACUAGCAACUCUGCAACUAACAGAGUGGAGAAAGCGCCCCUUAAUGAAAAGAAAAACAGCCGGUGCAAGGCUUUAUAAAAAGAAUGUGACAGCCACUGCGUGUAUCCGAGAGACUUAUCUAAUCUACCGAGGAUUGUUGGGUAGGGAUGCGUAUAGAUUAUGCACGUGCUCCCUCCGUCCCAAAAUAAAUGCACAUCUCGCUUUUCGAGGAGUCAAACUUCUAAGUUUGACUAAAAUUUAUAAAAAAAUGUACUACUAUUUAUAAUGUAUAAUAAAUAUCAUUAGAUUGGGCGUUGGAUAUACUUUCCUAAUAUAUUUAUUUGAAGAUGCAAAUGAUGAUACUAUUUUCUUUAUUCUUAGUCAAACUUAAAAAUGUUUGACUCUUCGAGAAGUGAGAUGUGUGUUUAUUUUGGGAUGGAGGGAGUACCCGUCACGGGGAUUAGUCACGAUAUAAGUAGGGACUAGCAAGCACCAAAAUCCCAUUCACUGCCCUUCGAUCGCUCAAAUAAAACAAACCAUUGCAUAUGGUGGCGAUGCGCUUGCGGGCCUUUUUCCAACCUUUCUGCUGUCGUGGGUCUUGAACUCGCAUGGAACAGUUUUAGUGAAAGCGUGCCCUUCAAUUUUGGGAAGAUUGCGAAGCCUCAUUUACCUGUCCUUAGUGACAAUAAGUUAGGAUCCAAUGAUAAGGACGGAUUGGAAUUCAUCACCAUGCUGGCAAACUGCAGCCAGCUUCAGCAACUGGCUUUUGACAAUAAUUCAUUCAUCGGGGAACUUCCUAGCUCAAUUGCAAAUCUAUCGACAACACACCAAUUACUCUGUAUAGGAAACAAUUGGAUUUCGGGAUUUAUUCCAUCCAGCAUAGGUAAUUUGCUUGGUCUAGAACUGCUUGCGUUGGCAAAUACUUUCAUAUCCGGAGUGAUUCCAGAUAGCAUUGGUCGCCUAGAAGACAUGUCCGUGUUAGGCAUUUACUACGCUAGCUUGUCAGGCAUCAUACCUUCGUCACAAGGAAACCUUACACAGUUGAAAACUCUCUAUGCGUACGAUAGCAACUUCGAGGGUCCAAUUCCAGCAAGUGGGGGAACUUAAAGAAUGUUGUUGUUCUUGAUCUCUCAACGAAAGUGUGUAACCCGCUAAGAUUUCGUGUCGAAGCAAAGCAUAAACCUCUCUUAAGACUGCAAAGCUAUCAUAGAGCAGAUCAGUCUAAGACAAUGUAGAACUUAGUCAAAUUUUAUUUAUAAACAUUCAAGUACAAUUUAUGCAAAGUAAAUUUGAAAAUAAAGUAUACGUAAACAUCUAAGCGCAUAGCUUUAUGAUUUGAGUUGAACUAACCAAAUAUAAUUGAAAAACACAUUUAUAUUUAUAUUAAGUCAAAUUAACAUAUAAUUAUGAAAGCUCGAGAUAUAACUUAUGGAGCCUUUAUUUAGAAAACAAAUUGAAUAAACAUUAAUCAAUUUAAGUUUAAUUAUGAACCACCAUGUUGCAUCUCUCAUUGACUUUUAAUUGAAAGAGUUAUUUAAAUAAGCAUUAACUAAUUUAGCAUUUAUUAUGAAAAGCAGUUAUAACACUAAGUAGCUUUUAAUUAAAGAAGACAUGUUUAACAUGCAUUAAUCAGAUUAAUAUUAAAUUUAUUUUAAAAACAUGCAUGAUGGAAAGAUCAGUACUAACAUGUAAUUUGUGUUAUUACAAACCUAACUCAAUAAGAACAGAUAUAAACGGAGCUGUAACGACCAGUCUAUGGGUUAAACAAGGUUGCAGGGCCUAAUCAUGAUUAACGGAAGGUUAUUGGGGCUAGCAAGGAAGAUUUGCAAGACACUGGAAUAGAGCUCCCCAUUAGGUCAAAGCAUAGGGCGAUUGCGAAAUCAAGAACUCGAAGGUGAUCGCGAGAACACGAAGGACACGAAGGUUUUAGAUAGGUUCGGGCCUCCGGAGAGUAAUACCCUACGUCCUGUAUGCUAGUUUGUAUUGCUUGAGAUUGAUCUGAUUGUUGGGAUACCCUCGGGGGUGCCCUUGGCCGCCUUAUAUAGGCUGACGACCAAGAGUUAAAAGUCAGUUUGAAUCUAAUCUACUCGGUAGUUACAUGGAAAGUAAUCUGAGUUGGACUACAGUACACGUUCCAUGAUAUCCAGGCAGAUUUGAACUGUCUUGUUGCCUUGACUUGCACUCCAAGUAACUUCAUGUCCUCGGCCCGCACGCCCUAGUCGGGCGGGCCCUACUUGUCAGUCCGGCCAGUAUCCUGGUCGGUCGGGGCCCAUGGGGUACCCAUAUCCCUCAAGCCCCCGAGCAUUGUGUAGGUGAAGAGUAACUUGAGGUCACCACAGUGAAACUUGAAAUGAAGUCGGCUGAAGCUACGAAGACAUCAUGGCGACGGAGAGGCUGCACAGUGCUCAAAAGAAGAAAUUCUGAGCAAACGCAGAGCCAACGCGUAGAGCGAAGACGAGUGCCGAGUUGAUGGAUGCUGGCAUUCAGCAGUCGGAGCAAAGGUUAUGGAGGGCCUCGCAAAACGCACUCUGUAGGAGUAGCCCCCGAGCAUUAAAGUGAUUAAGAUAAUCGGUACAAUAGUCAAAGAAGAAAAAGUUAUCCCCUAAAGUAGAUCCUAGUGCUCGAACAUAAGGAUGGGUGAAGCCAUGGAGGCCCGCCAACCAGAAGUAGGCACCCAGACCCAAGAAUGAGGACUAGCGGGACCGUGUAGCCACGUUGACCUGAAAUAGGCGCCCAACCCCUGAGGACGAGGACUAGCGGAGCCACGGAGGCAUGCCGACCUGAAGUAGGCACGCAACCCCUGAGGACGAGAACUGGAGGAGCCAUGAAGACACGCCGACUUGAAAUAGACGCCAAGCCCCUGAGGAUGAGGACCAGUGGCGCCACGGAGGCACGCCAGCCAGAAUUAGGCAUCCAACCCCCGAGGAUGAGCAUGAGGACUGGUGGAAGCACGUCGAGGUGCCUCCCGCCUCGAGCCGAGGCAGAGAGGUCAGUCGGGCGACGGGAGGCACAUGAGUCAUCUAUGGCGCGCAACCGCCGAGCCUGGGAGCCGGACGAGUUGCAGAAGCAUGCCAAGUCGCCUCCCGCGGCGAGCUAGAGAGGUUUGCUGGGCGACGGGAGGCACGCCAAGUCAUCUGCAGUGCCCAGCCCUCAAGCCUUAGGGCCGGCUGAGCCAUAGAAGCAUGCCAAGCCGCCUCCCGCCCCGAGCCAGAGAGGUCGGCCGGGUGACGAGAGGCACGUCGAGUCAUCUGCGGCGCCCAGCCCCCGAGCCUAGGAGCCAGACAAGUCAUAGAAGCAUGCCAAGUUGCCUCCCAUCCCGAGCUAGAGAGGUCGGCCGCGUGACGGGAGGCACGCCGAGUAGUUUUUGAGCUAUAAAAGGACAAUACAAUCAUCAUGUAGCAUAGUGUAGAUCGUUUAAUCAUUGAACAACUCGGAAGUUUAAUUCACUAUAUAAGUAAACUCUUGCGCAUCCUGCUCUUGUAGGCUAAGUAAUUUCCCCAGGUAGUUAGCCUGUUACGUUUAAGCACCUAGCCCUACUGACCACUGCUCACAGAGAUGACGGUUUAUCUCAAGCUAUAGCGCUGGGGCUGACCUGAUGCUUGCAUAUAGGAGACGCGCAGGAUGAGUUAAGGUUUUACGGAUUAAGGCAUGUGCUACCCGAGUACUUUAGCAACUGUUAACAGGGACAGACAAGUUGCAAAGCAGCCGGAACUGUGCGGAAAAGCACCAGCAUGAGCUAGGCACCCAUGGGGUGUAACCCCUGGCCGCCCGUGUAGUGGACGGACCAAGUUGUAUAAACAGUUAGGGUGCGACCAAGGUGGUGGGCAAAAGUCACGGAGACAUAGGAGAGCUGAGGCGGUCGACGAAAGUCACAGGAACAUGGAGGAGCCGAGGCUUAUGUAGGUAUACGGAAGCCAUAAAAUAUUUAAUUGUAAAUAAGACUUAGCUUGAUUCGUGAUCGAGUCGAAGAACCCGCAUGUCGUCUUUGCGUUUAGGCUUAGAAGCCCCUGAGCGUGGUCAGCGGAUAGUUGUUGGUGAAGCAAACUAGUAGGGCUCCAUGCCCGACUAAUUCGUGUCAAGUCCGAGUUGUUGGAGUUGUUAGUGGCAAGUCUGUGGCUGCGAUCGUGGUAUGCUGCUGCCAAGUCGAUGCGGCCAUCGGGUCGUGGCUGGCUGGCCGCCACGCUCGCAAUACAGCAUGCCUGGGUUGUGCUGCCAAACCAAAGGUGCAUGUACAUCUUUCCGAACCUCGUAAGGAAGCCCUCAGGUAUUAAGGAAAUCUAUACCUAAUAUUAAAGUGCGGUUGUUUGUUCCAACCAUUAUGGUUGUUUUGCAAAAAAGUCCCUCAACUUUUUCGUAAUCAGCUCGCAGUCCUUGGAAUAUGUCUUGAUGAUUUUGCAAAAAGGUCCCCAAACUUUACUGCAAUUGGCCGUCGAAGCUCCCGCAGCAUGCACCUACGCCACGUGCGGUGCGGACGAGUGUGCUGGCGGUGGCUGCAAGCUCCUCACCACAGCGGGGACCAGGUCGAGCAGCGACAGCGAUGACGGAGGGGAGUAGUCCGCAUCCGCGUGCCGUGCUUCCAUCGUCGGGCAAGCUGUGGCGGCGGUGGAGAGGGAAAGUGAGUACAUCGGCGUGUGGCAGCAGUCGUGGGGCAGUUUGGCGGCGGAGAUCCAUGACCCGCACCUCGCUGUGCGCAAGUGGCUCAGCACCUUGGACACCAUUGAGGACGCCACACACGUCUAUGAUGUCGCCGCCAUCGAGUUCCGAGGCCACCACGCCAAGCUCAACUUCCCCGACGACAUGGUCCCCGUGCCCGCACCUUCUAGGGUGCCCACCUCUACAUACCACUACCACCACCACCUGCCGCAGCCGCUGCCCAAGAGUCUGCACAAGACCUGCGGGUCGAACGCAUCGUCGUCGGUGCACAUGGCUCCUGGAUGACGGCAGCUUCUUGUCACCCAUGCCAUGAUCGUCACAUUCUCCUCUUGUUUUCACUUUCGUUGCUUAGCGGAUAAUGGUGGUCAGCUGCCCUUUGGUCUGUCGUCAAUCACCAGCCAUCCAUCGCUUUCAUAUGGUUUUACACUAGCUUUUGGGCUUUGACCACACCUCCACACCCAUAAAGUGGAGUGAUGUUGAUCUACUGCCGCUCGCCCUGGCGUGCAACUACUGUCGCUCACCCUAGCACAUGGCUACUCACUCGGGCUGCGUGCCCUACCCGCCACCUGGACCUAAGAGGUGAAGGAGAGAGGAGGAAGGGGGAAGGAAAUAAGGAGCCGAGUGCCUCUUUGCAGUCAACCAAGUAGAUCCAUGUGCCAGCGAAGGCAUGGCGCCAGCAAGGGGGGGGGGGCGCAGCAGCAGUCGGCAGGCAACGCAAAUUGGGGCAGAGGUUGGGACCUCACACCCCCCCUCUCAAUGACGUCCAUCCCCUUAAGAUCCGGAACUAAAGCCUCCACAUCUAGCAAUUGGGGGCUCAAUUUUGCACUUGAUUGAAAUGAUUUGGAGUGGAUUAUGGAAGGGAAGUGGAUGGAAAUGAGAAGAGGAGGAGAACGCACUCCUGCUCAUGGCGGCCAGAGGCGUUGUGGCCUAGCGCUCGAAGCAGGAAUGAGGCUAGGCACAGGAAGGACGAGCGCUUGCCUGGGCGAUGGUGAGGAUGGCAAGAUGCGCAGCGCCUGGAUGACGGCGAAGAUGGGGCUAGAUGCGGGUGGCGCUGAUGGAUGAAGAGGCAUCGACUGGCUAGAUGACGAUGAGUACGGGGGAAAUCGAAUGAAUGGAUGGAGCGGAGGUUGAGCGGUGAUUUUUUUUAUUUCCAUAUGUGGGUCCCACAUAAUAAACAUAUGGCAUCAAAUCACCCAUAAAUAUCUUCUACUACUAUACUGAGACAACGCACCAACAUAUGGUGAACCGAAGCCACCGUAUUACGAACAAGCGAAUAAUAACGUGAGAAUAAGUAAGGACCUGUAGCAACGCACGGACAUUUCUGCUAGUGAGAAAAAAAAUUGUUAUCUACCGCAGUAAGCACCGAGCAACAUAGGAGAUCUACUGGAUGGAAUAGAUUAAAUAAUAAAGGGAAGGGAGAAUUGUUUCCUUUUUUUUCCGUGGCAGAUCCGACAUGUCUGCAUGCAACAAGUUGAGGCCGACGUGUCGUGCUAAAUCAAUUGGAUCGGACUGGGGCUGGAUCAGGCGAGCUUGGCUGUGGCCGGGAUGAGGCCAAUAAGGGCGCCGCCCUUGACCUUGGCCUCCUGCGUCUCGUGGAUCUUCUGCAUCUAGAGCAUCCGCUCCAUGACAAGCUUGUACUGGCACUUCUCUUAGGCGUGGUGCUCAGGCUGGCACUUCCAGGGGAGGUAGAACUCGGAGGUGCACGCACUGGUUGUGGUAGGCGAGCGGCACCUGGGCCACCGCCAUCUCCACCUGCGUGAUGAUCUAGGGCUUCAAGGAGCCGAACUGCACACCGACCGUUGCUGCCGCCUCCAUCUGUCACUUUCUUCCCGUCUCUCUCACCGGCGAGGUCGUUCCAUCGAUAGAUGGGCAUUGCGGGUUUGGUGCGGUGUGGGUAGGUGGGGUGCAGCGAGGACAUGAGGAACCCUCUCGGAGAGAGAGAUUGCCAAUCUACUGGGCAAGUGGCAUGAUGAUCCUUGGAUAGAGAACUUGCUCCUCCGGAGUAAAUCCGACAGAUGCCGAGCUGGCGGCAGGCAUCGAGUCGAAGUCCACCGACAUGCUCCCGAAGCAGAGCUGGAUUGGGUUGGCGAGGAAGUCCUUCAUGCUCUCGGAAAAAACAAUGUCGGGACGGGAUGCCAUCGAGCUCGCUAGGGAGGAUCUCACAAUCAUCCCUACCUGGCAUGCCAACUGUUGGAUUUAUAAGCCUGAUAGUCCACCAGGGGGUUACCCAAGUAGUUGAUUUCUAGGUGAGGGCGAUUGUGAAACCAAGAACUCGAAGGUGAUUGCGAGAACACGAAGGGACACGAAGAUUUUAGAUAGGUUCGGGCCUCCGAAGAGUAAUACCCUACGUCCUGUAUGCUGGUUUGUAUUGCUUGAGAUUGAUAUGAUUGUUGGGAUACUCUUGGGGGUGCCCUUGGCCGCUUUAUAUAGGCUGAUGACCAAGAGUUACAAGUCGGUUUGAAUCUAAUCUACUCGGUAAUUAGAUGGAAAGUAAUCUGAGUCGGACUACAAUACGCGUUCCAUGAUAUCCAGGUAGAUUUGAACUGUCUUGUUGCUUUGACGUGCACUCCAAGUAACUUCAUGUCCUUAGCCCGCACGCCUUAGUCGGGUGGGCCCUAGUUGUUAGGUCUGACCAGUAUCCUGAGGUACCCAUAUCUCUCACCUUGGUGCUCCGGCGAUUAGGGUCAACGGCGAGGAUGGGGAUUGGAAGAGGAGAUCAAGGGGACUUUAUGGAGAUGCUCACCGGUGGUGAGGUGGACGGAUUCCAGCCAGAAUUUGGCUGGCGGUGGAAGAACACGACAGGUUGCUCAGGUCUUCGCGAGUGAUGGUACUCCAGCAGUGGAGCGGCGACGAAGACUAGUGGCAGAGCAGCUCCUCGACAUCAUGGAGCUCCCUAAGGCUCUAGCUUGCUCCAAUGGUCGACGGGCAUAGCGAAUUGGCCAGAGAAGGCUGGUAGCGGCUCCUAGCUUCGGUGGAUGUGGGGGAUGGCGGCGCUUGUGGAGGAUGGCGGUGCUUGUGCAAGCUGGGAAGAGUGGCGGCGCGAGGCAGGGUAGCAGCAGGGGCACUGUCUCGACUUUUAUAGGCGCGUGGGUCCGCGCCUACCUUGGCACGCAUGCUGAGGUUCGGCGGUGGCGACGACCAACUGCAGCUACGCUUGGCCUCAACCCGUUGGUGGCCGAUGGGCCUAGCGGACCUAGCCGAGCCAUCAGCUGGGCUGGGUCGGUGAGGGUCGAGCCGCAAAGACUUGGCCCGAUUGAUUAGGAUUUUCCUUUUUUUUAGAAAUGAUUUCUUGUAAAAGAAAAAUCCAGAAAAAUUCUAUAUAAUUAAUUUAAGCAACGAAAAAACCCUAAAAAUCCAAAAAUUCCAGGAAAAAUCCUAGAGAUAGUUUGGGAAUGAGGAGUACAAAUAAAAUACUUGGAGCUCAUGAAAAGGAUUCUAGAACCUUCCAAAAAUUGGAUUUAGCUCUAGAAAAAAGAGAAUAAAUCUUAGAAAAAUCUUGAAAUUCUCAUAAGAACCUAAUGGGCAUCUAAACGCAUUCCAAAACCUUUGCACUUAUGAAAUACCAAGAUGCAUCGGCAUGAAUGCAACACAUACAUAGAACUAUUAUAUUUAAUUCAGAAAAACACUCAAUUAUUUUCCUAUACUAAAUUUCCUGUCAGGAAAAUAAAUGUUGGAAAAAUUUUAAAAUUAUGAGAAAAUCAUUGUUUAAUUAUUAUUUUUAAUCACAUCCUGAAAUUUCAAAAAUUUUAAGGUGUGACAGAUACCCUCAGGUUUACAGAAUUUGACAUCCAUGUGCAAAUUGGAUCUAUCCUUCAAUGAUUCUUUGGAUUUGCACAGUUUUCAGAUAUUUACUGGAAGGAGCCCAACGGAUGAGAUAUUCAAUGAUUCUUUGGAUUUGCACAGUUUUCAGAGAAUGCUCUUCCAGAGAGAAUAUGGGAUAUAGUUGAUCCGACAAUAUGGAUGCACACAGAUGCCUAUAACAGCACUAUGAGAAGUGGAAUUAAGAAUUGCUUGCUUUCUGUUGUUUCUCUUGGAAUAUCAUGCUCAAAGAAACAACCUAGGGAGCAGAUCCCGAUUCAGGAUGCAGCCAUUGAGAUGCACGCUAUUAGAGAUUCGUAUCUCAAGUUUGCCAGAUCUCUUUUGGUGGAGCAUGGAGUAGUAGCAACAACUCACAGUGAUUUCCCACAACAGUGAAUACAUAGGACUGAAAAUGGGCAAGAUGUCCGCAGGUGAUCAGUUUACCUGAAAUAACUGAAGAUGUAUGAAGCUUCAGCUUUAUAAUUCGUCCAUGCAUUUGUUUGCAUCAGAUAUAUGGAAGUAUAAAAUAAGUUUAGAAAAUGUUUCAAAAUAGAUUAGAUCAAGAGGUUUUUACUUGUCGUCUGUAUGGCACAUUUGUUUAGAGAAUUCAGUAAUAUGUAUGAUUCAUAAUACAAUCAAUGCUCUGCAAAUUUCAGAUAGCACAAUUGGAAUAAAAAGCUCAUUCAUUGAUUAUGUUGCUCUAGGUGACUCAACUUAUUGUGAUGUUCACUGUAGAUUUCUCCAUGGUCCAAACGACCUUUGUGAUCAGUUAUGUUUAUGCAUUUUGUAGACUUGUAAAGUCUUUCCCUAACCUGCUGACAUAUCAGCUGGAGCAGAGCACUCUGCCGUUCUGCGCCACUUGCCUCUAGGCAGCGCUUGCCGCUUGGUGGCUGCCGUGGCGACGGGCGGCAUCCGUAAUUGCUCUAUUGGAGGCUGAGGGGCACAAUUACGUCUUGGAGUCGCCACCGCGCGACCUUCGGAGCUCGCCCAUGCCUCAUCGGUACGAGCUCAGUCCCGCGGUGAAUGGCGCGCGCAUCUGGGGUUCCGUCAGCUGCAGGUGCAGAUGGGUGGAGAGCUUAACAGCACUAGGUCUUCAGAAGAUGUUGGGUGGGCUGGAUGGGGCUUUGCGGCUCUGAAUGGCGAGGCGGGCAGGGACGACGGCGGCAGCGGCAGGCGGCGGCACUGGACGCGUUGGGGUGGAGACGACCCGGACCAGGGAGCAUUUUUGAAAAUAGUCGGAUCGCGAUCCUAAUUAGGAAAUGUGAGAAGGGGUGCACCAAAUAUGGGAUGAGAUGGAGAGGAGCGGAUCAGGCCCAGAUCAGCGAUCAUUUACUAUUAGGGCCCGUUUGUUUGGCAGGAAUUGGGCUGAAUUGGAAUUACUUUCCUAGGCCGACCUGUUUGGCUGCACAUGGAAUUGGAAAUCGUCUUUCCGGUGAUUUUCACGGGCUGAUUUUCUUACUUGCGACACAUUCCGGGCCUAAGACAAAGAAAUCAAUUCCAUCCGACUUGCUUCCCCUCCCGACUCGCCUCCCUUCCCCGACACCGCGCCACCUCCCUCUCCCAACUCCCCUCCAUCCCGACGCCGCACCCCCUCCUCCACCGCCUCCUCCGGCGCCCCCUCCUCACCUCCCCCUGACUCGCCUCACCCCGUGCUGCCGCCGCCCUCGACUCUGACUCCCCGAGCGCUGCGCCGCCGCCUCUCGCGCCGCCGCCCCUCGCGACCACCUUCUCGACGGCGAGAUAAACCUCCUCCAGUUUCCCUCCUCCAUCUCGUUCUCCGGCUCACCCCUUCCUUUUUCUUCCUCACCGGCUCACCCCUUCCCCUUGAACAAUCCGCAGAUCUGCGGGGGAGGUGCCACCGGCAAGCAGGCUGGGAGCAGCUGCAACGGCGGCCGCCCCAUCCACGUCUCUACGGACGGCAUCUUCAACAUUCCGACCACGCGCGUGCUCUCCACUAGCAAAGAAGCUGUACGUCCCAAUCCCUUCUGCCCAUCCCCUUUGCUACUCGAGCCAGCAAAGAAACUACUAGUUAGUUGCAUCAGAUUCUCACUGUCAAAUUGGAAGGCCAUUGCUCUUGCUCCUACUAGUAUACCGCACUUUCCACAAAAUGCGACACACGAAUUUGUUAAUUUUGCCGUAAUUCUGCUAUCAAAUCAAAAGGCCAAUCCUCUUGCUCUAAACAGUUUCUGCAAUUUCGUGCACUAUCGAUUGCUAGUGCUAAUUACAUGGAGGGCCUUUGGUACUUCUCUGCUAAUGCUAAUUAUAUGUGACAUGCUCUGAGAUUCUUCAUACUGUGUGCUGCCAUUAGUUUAAAUUUGGUAGAAGCUGAAAUCUCUUCGUAGAUCAUUAUGUGCUGCCAUUCUGAUAUCCUGUGGAGUUGCAUAUCAACUACUAGUGCUAGCAUUUAGUUUUAUCUGUCACAGCAGUUAAGCAUCAGUCAGCCCUUAUCUAGCAUUUAGUUGGUGCAGCUGUGCAAGUGAUGUUCCUAUUGUUUUUAAUUUUUGUCUUCUGCAGCAUUUUGCAGGCUGUCUAUGUUUCUGCUUAGUUUCGUGAAAUAGUGUAGCAUUUUGAUGAUAAAUUAAAACAUUCCUUUUUGCAUAUGUUUAGAUGCCUGACAGCAACAUAGACUUGGUUAAUACAGGCAUAGAGCAAAUGAGAGAGAGCGUAGGAAGAAGAGAAAAAGAGUGGCUAUUUUAUUUAUUUCUGCUGUCAUGAGCAUGAUUGUGCACUAAUGCGUAAGAGACCUAGGCGUAUCGUUGAUCCGGAUGAAGUGGCUGAGAGAAAUGUUGCUAGUCGGAAACAAAUGCCAAGGAAUCUGUACUAAGGAUCAAAUAUUUUUUGCUAUGACAGUUUGCGCCUAAUUAAGAGAUCAUUUUCUGACCUAUGUGCCAUCUUACGUGAUAGGUGCGGUAUGUGUGAUACUGUCGGUAGAAGAAAAUGUGGCUAUCUUUUUGCUUAUAGUGGGCCAUGGCACUAAGAUGAGGAUGAUUCGUAGCUCAUAUAGGUGGUCGCUCGAGCCAAUCUACCAUCAUUUCAAUGAGGUGUUGAGAGGUGUUCUAUCAUUAUGCCAUGAAUUUAUCAAGCUUCUUGAUCCAUCAGCUGUAGAACCUGAGGAUUCCAAGUGGAAGUGGUUUGAAGAUUGCCUUGGAGCAUUAGAUGGUACACAUAUUGACAUUUUGGUGCCUUUGGCUGACCAAGGGAGGUAUAGGAAUAGGAAGCAACAGAUUACCACCAAUAUUUUGAGGGUUUGUGAUCAUCACAUGAAAUUUAUUUACAUCUUAGCAGGAUGGGAAGGAUCGGCUUUAGAUUCACGUGUGCUACGUGAUGCAAUGUCUCGGGACGAUGCAUUUCUUAUUCCAAGUGGGAAAUACUAUCUUGUAGAUGCUGGAUACACCAAUGGACCGGGCUUUCUUGCUCCAUAUCGAUCCACUCGCUACCACUUGAAUGAGUGGGCUGCUCAAGGGCAUAACCCAUCCACUCCCAAAGAACUAUUCAAUUCGCGCCAUUCAACUGCUAGAAAUGUGAUAGAGAGAACAUUUGGGCUAUUAAAGAUGAGGUGGGCUAUACUAAGAAGCAACUCAUAUUUUAACUUACAAAAUCGGGUAUUCCGUAGUUAGUAACCUAGCUUGAAAUUCACCUCUGAAUGACCCUAGCAUGUAACUCAUUUCUACUAAUUUUUUGCAGAUUAGGAUCAUUAAUGCUUGUUGCAUAUUGCACAACUUUGUAAUUGAUAGACAAAGAGAUAUAGAUGACUUACUUAUAUACACCAAGUUGAUCAAGUAAUAUAUGUUGAACCUCAUGAAGUUCAAAGUGAAGUGGGCAUGAUUAGCAAUGUUCAAUCAUCAAAUGAAUGGAGCAAUUUUAGGGAUACCAAAGCUAACCAAAUGUUUGCUGAUUACCAAGCGAGACGUGGUCAAUGUAUGAUAAAUUCUAUCAUCAAUGCAUGCUCAAAUUUAUGAUAUUUGGUGUUGCUCCUUAAUAUUUUACUGAUAACCUUUGUGAACUUUUUUCUUGUAGAAUAUGGAGAAGGGCAAGAAGUCAGUCUCGAGCAGGGGUUACAUUUGUUGGAAUGACGACAUGAAUAAGGCUCUUCUUGACACAUUUGUGGAGUACUAUAACAAGGGUGACACAUGCCAAAAUGGGUGGAAGUCUCAUGUCUAUACAACUUCUAUCAAGAAUAUCCGAGAAAAGUGUAAUGUGGAUAUCACAAAAGACAACAUCAUGGCAAGGAACAAGACCUUUGACAAACACUACACUAUCAUCAAUGGUAUGUUGGAAUCAAGUGGAUUUGGUUGGGAUUGGAACAAAAAUAAAAUAUCUGUUGAUAGUGAUUCUGUAUGGGAAGAAUAUGUGACGGUAAGUUUCAAAAACCACUGAUUUACUUGCUUAACUUGCUUCUCUUUACAAGCAGUUUUCAUUUUGUUAGACACAAUCACAUAUGAGGUUAUCCUUAUUUUACACAUGGUAUGGUAUGAAUCUACUAGGUGGGCUUGGCAUAUAAUUGAAAGAUUUUUUGUACUCUAUCUAAAGUGGCAAUGAUUGUUUCAUCAAAACUUAUUGUUCCUGAAAACUUAUUGGCAUAUAAUUGAAAGUUUCUAUCUAUUGUUGAAAACAGUGUGUAGUGAAUUAUGUUCGUUACCUGUGUUCCUAAACAAUUAUGUAUGCAUCCUUGUCCCUGUAUGUUUUGUUACUUUUUUUAUUGAUAGUGUGGCAUCUUUAGGUUGUUCUUGAAAUGAAAGUAUACUUUCACUGCACAAGAAUUUAUUGGCCAGAAUAGUGGCUUGUAUUGGUCAGAUCCUAGUCAGCAAGUGCACGUCUCCUACAAGGCUGAGAAUCUUGCGUGAGGAAACUAGAGAGACCACUAGCAUGAACAAUGCCUCUCCAUACUCUGCAAUUUUUGAACUUUAGAUGCACCUGUCUCUUUGCUAGAAUUGCAAAUUAAGUAUGAAACAUGAAUCGACAUCAUUUAGUAUUGUUGUGCAGCACCAUACAAUGGUUUUGUGGUUUUGUGGAUUCUAGAAAAGGAUUCUCACAAAUGAUAGUUGCCAGUUAUACCUUUUGUUGCCAGUUCUACAAAAGGAGCCAUGGAUGUGUUUCAAUUUGUAGAUAUUCAUUGUGCAAAAUGCGACUAGAGCUUCUAGUACAUGUAUUUCUAAUAGUAGAAGCCAUGCAGAAGUUCCUGUAUUUGAACUACAGUAUGUAAACUGAUCUAUAUGUGUCUAAACUGGUCUGUAUGUGAACUACAAUGAUUGUACUUCUAUUUGGGUUCAGUACAUACUUGCUCUACACUUGUUUUCUAACCAAGUACAUUUAUUUUCUGUAGAAAAAUAAAGAAGUUACUGGGUACAGGCACAAGACUGUCUUGUACUGGGACUCAAUUAGCUUGGUGUUUGGCAAAGGCCAUGCUACUGGUGAAGCGGCAAAGACUGUGGCUGAGAGCUCAAAAAAUAUGAGUAAGGAAUAUCUUAGUAACAAAGAACCCACAUCAUCGGCAACUUCAGGAAGUUUAAAGAGGCAACGAUCAGGUGACUCUUUUACCUCUAUGAUAGCUGAAAAAAUGGACAAGUUUGCUGAAGCACUCAAGGAGGAAGCCCUAAAGGCCUAACAUCAAAAGAAAUUCUAGACACACUGAAUGAGGUACAAUGAUUGGAUGAAGACACUUUGUUGGACCUAUUUGAUAUCCUGACCGGUGAUGCACGCAAGUAUGAGUCUCUGUUGGCGCUUCCGGAGAAGAUGAGGAAGAGGUGGCUCCUAAAACAGCUCAAGAAGUGAAAAAAUUAGUUCAUAUAUAAAUUAUACUAUCAAGUGAUGGAUAAUGUCUAUUGAACUUCCAUUGCCUUGUAAUAAUAUGUGGCUUCAACUAUAUGAAAGUUUAGAUACUAUGUCUGUAUUGCUUGCAUUGUCAAGAUAAUAUGUUUAUCAUGAUCUCAUACUAUGUCUGUCAUGAAAGUUUAGAUAAUAUGUGGCUUCAACUUGUCAUGAUUGUAAUCUCCUUUGACAUGUUGCAAGUAAUCAGAUAUGUCUGCCAGGAUUGCAUUGUCAAGUAUGAAUGUAUAUCAGCAUUGUAGGGAGAGAAGCUUAUCUGCUUUUUGGAGAUAAACAUUCAAAUUACUGGUGUAUGACGGGAUGAAAUACUCUAGUGUUCACCUGGUUGGAAGGAUGAGAGGGAGAUGAGAGAGAGAGUUUGGAAGAGAGAGAGGUGAGAGUUCGGAUGAGAGAGAAAGCAGCUUAGAAGGAUGAGAGAGAGAAAGCGGUAUUCAGCUGGAUGGUGGAAAUUUUAUAUAUUACUAAUAAUGCAUCCAAACAAUAUUUGGAAUUUAAUUCUAAGAAAAACUUCCUUUGUACAACCAAAUAAGAAAAUUCAAUUGAAUCAAAUUCUACGGAAUCCAUUUCCUAUGGAAUCUAAUUGCUAGAAUAUGAUUCAUGGAAUGAGUUUCAAUUCUAGGGAAACAAACGGGCCAUGGUCUUCAUUCCCAAGGAAAGCUUGAGGCUCUGCAAUAUUACACAACAAUGAAGUCAAGAGGGUUGAUCCCUGAACCAAGGACCAAGAUACUGGUGAAAGCUAUACAUAUGAAGAAAGAUGGGGCUGUCAUAGAAGAUCAGUCUGCAAAUAUGACAGGGAAGAAUCUAAAACUGGAUCCACGAUCUAGACUAUUCCAUGUUCAUAAAUAGUUUGCUGUCAGAUCUUACUUCUAUGUGUCAAAAGAAUCUCUUCGACCAGUGUCCAGAUCACAAUGGUCACACCUUGGGCUACAAUAAAUCAUCAGCAAAGUGUAUUGGCAUUAUGUAUCCCAGAAAGUUUUGCUCAGACUUUCAAUGCCAGGGUAUGUUUUUUAUGUCUGAUAUGGAUCAAUUGCAGGUACUGUAUUACACGCUCGUAUUAUGAAGGUUAUGUGAAAUAUGACAGAUGUUUGUUUAUUCAUCUGUUAUGCAUGGCUGUGUCUACUGUCUAGUUGUUGGCUUGUUGCCAACAUAUGCAGCAGCAGGUAGCUUCAGCCGCUCAGAAGCCCAAAUGAAGGAUGGCCCAGGCAGAAUAGCUAUGUCCAGACCCAGAAAGCUUAGGACAUGUCUUGCCAGCCUGCAGUUUUGUACUCGUAGCACCAACCAUCUCCGGGUUCUGGCCGGUUAUAUACAUGGUCUGGAAUGGGCAUCCGCUGAUCGAUUGAAACCUUGAGUUGCUUCCGUGUGUCUUUUGCCAUCUAUAUAUUAUGGUUAGUCAACGGCAUGCAGUACACCCAUGCAUAUGAUUGCAGUAGGAUGACAUGGCGUGACCAGAACCCUUCUUUUGCCAGUUUUAGAUUCUUAUACACGGCCAACUGACGCAGCAGGGAGUUGCAUGCUAAGCAGUUCAGCGUAGGUGGUGAGUUCUCAACUCUGAUAUGGCUUAUGGAAGAACACUGUCACGGUGUCACCUAGCCGGUUGGAGGCCAACCUCUUACUAGGGACAGCAAUGGCCCUGUCCGGCCACUGUUUCGUGGCUGGUAUUAUUACCCCUAUGCAGUGAAUAUGACAUGUGGAUCUAUGUGUAUAUUAUGUCGUCAAAAGAACAUUAUAUGAACCGUUGAUCCACCUUUGAUUCUAUUAAUGUGUCAUGGUCAAUUGAUGUCAAACUCUAUUAUCUUCAAGUCUUACUGUAUUGAUAAAAUCACGAUGCUGCUACUGCCAUUUUGAUGUUUAUAAAAGGGUAUUGAGAACCUGGUGGGUAUCCAUUCGAUGCGCAGGGUUGGGGGUGGGGAAAAAUGAGUGUAAAGGACAGGGAUGCAGUAUUUAGAAAGAUGAGGCUGGCACAGAAAAUAGUCUCCAAGUAUGGCAGGGAAGAAUCUAAAACUGAAUCCUUGAUCAAGACUGUCCCAUAUUCAUAAAUAGUUCACUGACAGAUCUUGCUUCCAUAUUCUGAACAGCUGAUGCUGGGCACAUAGGAGGUUAACCGGUCAGCGGAUCAAAGAAAAUCCACAAUGGCCUCAUCUUGGGUUAGAGACAAUCAUCGGUAAAGAAUCAUAUUGCCGGAUAAGGAUAUCUGUGAUUGGUGGGUGCAGAUCCAUGCUCAUUCAAGAAACACAUGAUUCUUUACGGAUGAUCAUCUCUCAGCACACCCUGCUGAUAAGGUUAUCUGAGAUUGGUGGGUGCAGAUCCUAGAAACAAGCUAGGGCUGAAUGCGCCGCUGUACUUGGAUGUUGUGGUGACACCGUAAUGAUUGUGUGUUUAAUGGAGUUUUCCAUAGUGACUAGCGUGCAGGCCGUCCUCGUAUUUGAGAAAAAAAUCAAUGGGCGAAAUAUUUUCACCCAGGUAAUUGUUGCAUUGUAUGAAUAGGCUUAGAUACCUGGUUAAAGUAUGGUGCGUGUACUGUGACACAAGAAGAUUUAUCAUAUCUAUCUAUGAAUUAGUGUUAAAACUCCUACAUAAAUAUCUUCUCUUAUCUCACUUUAUGUAUAUAUAUGACACAGAAGCACAUGUAUAUCGGCAUUGUAGAGAUAGAGAUGAGAGAGAAGCUUAUCUGCUUUUUGGAGAUAAAUAUUCAAAUUACUAGUGUAUGAGAGGGAUAGAAUUAUUCUAUCAUAUUGUUUAUUCAACAUCUAAAAAGAUUCCAUGUUUAGUCAUCUAUAUCGGCGUUGUAGAGAGAGAGACUAGUGUUCAUCUGGUUGGAAGGAUGAGAGAGAGAGGAGAGAGUUUGGAUGAGAUAGAGAGAUAGUGUUCAGCUGGUUGGAAGGAUGAGAGAGAGAGAGAGGAGAGUUUGGAUGAUAGAGAGAUUAGUGUUCACUUGGUUGGAAGGAUGAGAGGGAGAUGAGAGAGUUCGGAUGAGGAGGUAGAGAGUUCGGAAGAGAGAGAGAGGUGAGAGUUCGGAUGAGAGGUGUGAGAGAGGUGAGAGUUCGGAUGAGAGAUAAAAUAGCUUAUAAGGAUGAGAGAGAGAGAAAGCGGUAUUCAGCUGGAUGGUGGAGACUUCAUAUAUUACUAAUAAUGCAUCCAAACAACAUUUGAAAUUUAAUUCUAAGAAAAACUUUCUCGGUAAAUCAAAACAAGAAAAUUCAAUUGAAUCAAAUUCUACGGAAUCCAUUUCCUACGAAAUCUAAUUGCUAGAAUAUGAUUCAUGGAAUGAGUUCCAAUUCUAGAGAUCCAAACGGGCCCUAAGAGAAUUGUAGUGAUCAACUCCCAAGUUGCAAUAUAUUCUAGGAAAUAGGUGGUUAUGAGGAUGAUACCUGCAGACAAUACUUUUUAUCCCUCAAUUCUUACAGAGAAUUGCACUAUCAACUGCAUUUUCAUUUGUGCCACGCUGCUCAGCUAUAAAAAACGGGGCAAAUCGACCAAAAUAAAUGAAUAAACCACAUGGUUUAGACUGGUGGCAUAUGUAUGUCUGAUGAGUUUAGAAUCCCAACAGACCUCUGUUUGCUUAUCCAACAGGAGGGAAAAAGUUUACUUACUAAAUCAGCUUUGCAUGUCAGGCUGCAAUUGUUAGAGAGUAGAAUUGGGUAAUUUGUGAACAUAAUUGAAUCAAAGUUUUGUCUCAGACUAGUAAUAGAAAAUGGUGAUGCUCCAUAGCUAGAACAACACGUUCCUACACUAGUUUAAAAAAUCCCCUGAAAUUGGGAACAAUGGUAAAGCCCAAACCAUACUUGGAACUUGGAAGGCCGCUGGCGGAUGUCAAAGUCAAAAACAGAAGCAGACAACGACGUCUCACCAGAUCACGAAUCAGAUGCGAUGCAUAUACAUGUUGCAGGCAUUAGCACGCAUCCCUUAGGAUUAAACAAUUCAGCAAGUAGCUCCCCUGCUGACCAAGAAAAGCAAGCUCUGUCUCGCAGCAAGCUCUUCAAUACGCUCCAGCCCAGCUCUACCAUGGCAUUUGCAAUGCGCGUCAUGAGCUUGCUUCCUGCCACCAUCGCCGUGAUGAUCGCAGCGGCCUCCUGGGGAGCGCACGGCGGUGCCAGCGACGAGGCCAGCGCGCUGCUUGCUUUCAAGGCUGAGCUCGCCGGCAGCGGCUCCGGCAUGCUUGCAUCCUGGAAUGGCACCGCUGGCGUCUGCAGCUGGGAGGGCGUGGCGUGCACCAGCGGCCAGGUGGUGGCACUGAGCCUGCCCUCUUAUGGGUUCGCCGGAGCCCUCUCCCCGGCCAUUGGGAACCUCACUUUCCUGCGGACCCUGAACCUGAGUUCCAACUGGUUCCAGGGGGAGGUCCCAGCAAGCAUCGGCCGCCUAGCGCGUCUGCAGACGCUUGAUCUGAGCUACAAUGCGUUCUCUGGUACGCUUCCUUCCAACCUCAGUUCCUGUGUCAGCUUACUGCUGUUAGAUCUCAGCAGUAACCGGUUCCAUGGGCGUAUCCCUGUUGAGCUUGGAGACAAGCUAACAAGUCUUCAGAAGUUCUCACUGGGCAACAACAGCUUGACGGGUGCCAUGCCAGGAUUACUAGGUAACCUGUCAUCCCUGAACUACCUUGAUCUGAGAAAAAACCACCUCGAGGGUCCGAUCCCACAUGAACUCGGCAGCAUGGGCGGCCUGCAGGUCCUUUUACUCCAUGACAACAGACUCUCCGGUGUGCUUCCACACUCCCUGUACAAUCUGUCCUCACUGAAAAAGUUGGGGGUAGGAGACAACAUGCUGUCUGGAACCAUCCCUGCUGAUAUCGGCGAUAGGUUCCCCGGUAUGGAAGCUCUUGACUUUUCUAGCAACCGAUUCAGUGGAGCUAUCCCACCUUCGCUCGGCAACCUCUCUGCUCUCACAAAACUAAUCCUUCAAGAAAAUGGUUUUAUUGGAUAUGUGCCUUCUGCUUUGGGAAAGUUGCAAAGUCUUACUGCCCUUUUCUUGGGUGUUAACAGGCUAGGAGCAAACGACAGUCAAGGGUGGGAAUUCAUCACUUCACUGGCAAACUGCUCCCAGCUUCAGGUUCUUGUUCUCGGCAACAACUCUUUCAGCGGGCAACUGCCUAAUUCAGUCACAAACCUGUCAUCAACUCUGCAAGGUCUUUAUUUGGGAGACAAUAUGAUUUCUGGGAAUAUUCCAAUAAACAUCGGAAAUUUGGUUGGUCUUACAGUAUUUGUGAUGGGAAAUACUUCUGUAUCUGGACAGAUUCCAGAGAGCAUUGGUCAGCUAAGAAACUUGGGUGUGUUAGGCCUUUACAACACUAGCUUGUCAGGCCUCAUACCUUCGUCACUAGGAAAUCUUACACAGUUGAAUAGGCUUUAUGCAUACUAUGGAAACUUAGAGGGGCCAAUUCCAUCAAACUUGGGGAACUUAAAGAAUGUGUUUGUCUUUGAUCUCUCAACAAAUCGACUCAAUGGUUCAAUUCCUAUAGAGGUUUUAAAACUUCCUCAACUUUCAUGGUACUUAGACUUAUCAUAUAAUUCAUUAUCCGGGCCACUUCCAAUUGAGGUUGGUACCAUGGUGAAUCUUAACGAACUGAUUCUGUCUGGAAACAAGUUGUCAGGCACCAUACCAGCUAGUGUUGGGAACUGUAUAUCGUUGGUACGGCUGCUGCUCGAUAACAACUUAUUAGAAGGAAGCAUACCUCAAUCUCUGAAGAACAUAAAAGGUCUUGCAUUACUGAACCUAACAAUGAAUAAGCUAUCUGGUAGUAUUCCUGAUGCCCUUGCUAGCAUUGGCCACCUGCAACAACUGUAUCUUGCACACAACAACUUGUCAGGUUCCAUCCCCAAAGUUCUACAGAAUUUGACAUUGUUGGCAAAACUGGAUUUGUCCUUCAAUGAUCUGCAAGGCGAAGUGCCAAAAGGGGGUCCUUUUGCAAAUGCAACUCACUUGUCAAUUGAUGGAAAUGAUGAGCUUUGUGGCGGAAACCCUCAACUUCAUUUAGCUCCGUGCUCCACAGCAGCUGCGGGGAAGAACAGAAGGCGAAUGUCAAGAUCACUUAUGGUCACCGUAGCGUCAAUCUGCGCACUUCUAUUCUUAGGUUUAGUAGUUUGUCUUAUCCAUUUGAUCCACAAGAGGCUCAGACAAGGAAAGGAAAAUCAACUCAUUCCCACAGCAAUUGAUGAACAGCACGAAAGGGUUUCAUAUCAAGCAUUAGCAAAUGGGACUGACCAUUUUUCGCAGGUUAAUCUGCUCGGACAAGGAAGCUAUGGUGCAGUUUAUAAGUGCACUUUACAAGACAAGGGAAUUACCGCAGCUGUAAAGGUAUUCAACGUGUGGCAAUCUGGGUCUACUAGAAGUUUUGUGGCUGAAUGUGAGGCACUGCGAAGGGUGCGCCACCGAUGUCUCAUAAAGAUCAUCACCUGUUGCUUAAGCAUUGAUCACCAAGGCCAAGAAUUCAAGGCACUGGUUUUUGAGUUCAUGCCCAAUGGUAACCUAAAUGGUUGGCUGCAUCCAGCAUCCAAAAUACAGAGUCUGAGCAAUACGCUCAGCUUAGCUCAGAGACUGGACAUUGCGGUAGAUAUCAUGGAUGCUUUGGAUUAUCUUCACAAUCAGUGUCAACCGCCUAUUAUCCAUUGUGAUCUCAAACCAAGUAACAUCCUCCUUGCCGAAAGUAUGAGUGCUCGGGUUGGAGAUUUCGGCAUAUCAAAAAUCCUUCCUGAUGACACUAGCAAAACUAUGCUGAAUUCGGUUAGCUUCACUGGACUAAGAGGUUCCAUUGGAUACGUCGCUCCAGGUAACAGAAACUAACACUGAUAUUGCUAUGUUCAGUUUUUAACUUCCAUUUUGCCAAGUCCAGUUAUCUCGGCAUGAAUCGUUCGUAAGUAGCUUGCCAUGAAUCCACUGACCAAAUAGUUUCUGAAAUCUGAAUUGACUGCAGAGUACGGCGAGGGUCGCGCCGUCUCAACUCUUGGAGAUGUUUACAGCCUCGGCAUACUGUUGCUUGAGAUGUUCACCGGGAUGAGCCCUACUGACGACAUGUUCAAAGGCUCCUUGGACCUUCAUAAGUUCGCCGAGGCCGCUCUCCCCGACAGAGCCUUGAAGGUAGCCGACCCGGCAAUCUGGCUUCAUGAAGAAGCAAAGGGGGAAGACCCGGCCACGGUGAGAAGCAGAAGCGAGAGGUGCUUGGCUUCAGUGGUCGGGCUUGGCGUGUCCUGCUCAAAGCAGCUGCCAAGGGAGCGGACGGCGAUGCGGGAUGCUGCCGCUGAGAUGCGUGCGAUCAGAGAUGCCUUCCUGGUUCAAUGUGCAACAGAGACUUGGCCUGCAGUCGGCACCAGCGGCCUUGGAAGCACAGACACUUGAAUGGUGGACGGAGCUACGGUCUCUUGACGCACCAAGGAGCCACCGGACUAGCUGCUCUGCAACUAACAGGGUGGAGAAAGCGCCCCUUAAUGAAAAGAAAAACAGCCGGUGCAAGGCUUUAUACAAAGAAUGUGACAGCCACUGCGUGUAUCCGAGAGCCUUAUCUAAUCUACCGAGGAUUGUUAUGUAUGGAUGCGUAUAGAUUAUGCACGGACUCCUCCGUCCCAAAAUAAACGCACAUCUUGCUUCUUGAGGAGUCAAACUUCUAAGUUUGACUAAAAUUUAUAAAAAAAAUGUACUACUAUUUAUAAUGUAUAAUAAAUAUCAUUAGAUUGAGCAUUGGGUAUACUUUCUUAAUACAUUUAUUUGAAGAUGUAAAUGUUGAUACUAUUUUUUAUAUUCUUAGUCAAAUUUAAAAAUAUUUGACUCAUCGAGAAGCGAGAUGUGUGUUUAUUUUGGGACGAAAGGAGUACCCGUCACCGGGAUUAGUCAUGAUAUAAGAUUAGUCACGAUAUAAGUAGGGAUUAGCAAGCACCAAAACCCCAUUCACUGCCCAUCGAUCGCUCAAAUAAAAGAAACCAUUGCAUAUGGUGGCGAUGCGCUCGCGGGCCUUUCUCCAACCUUUCUGCUCUCGCGGGUCUUGAACUUGCAUGGAACAGUUUUAGUAAAGCUGCCUCCAACUUUAGGGAGAUUGCCAAGGUUCAUUUACCUGUCCUUAAGUGGCAAUAAGUUAGGAUCGAAUGAUAAGGACGGAUUGGAAUUCAUCACCAUGCUGGCAAACUUCAGCCAGCUUCAUCAACUGGCUUUUGACAAUAAUUCAUUCAUCGGCGAACUUCCUAGCUCAAUUGCAAAUCUAUCGACAACACACCAAUUACUCUAUAUACGAUACAAUUGGAUUUCGGGAUUUAUUCCAUCCAGCAUAGGUAAUUUGCUUGGUCUAGAACUGCUUACGUUGGCAAAUACUUUCAUAUCCGGAAUGAUUGUAGAUAGCAUUGGUCGCCUAGAAGACAUGUCCGUGUUAGGCAUUUACUACGCUAGCUUGUCAGGUAUCAUACCUUCAUCACAAGGAAAGCUUACACAGUUGAAAACUCUCUAUGCGUACGAUAGCAACUUGGAGGGUUCAUUUCCAGCAAGCUGGGGGAACUUAAAGAAUCUUUUUGUUCUUAAUCUCUCAACGAAAGUGCGUAACCCGCUAAAGUUUCAUGUCAAAGCAGAGCAUAAAUCUCUCUCAAAACUGCAAAACUAUCAUAAAGCAGAUCAGUCUGAGGGCUAGCCUAUGCCCUAUCAACGCCUCCCUUCUUGCCCUUUUGGUAAGAUUACCCCAAACUAGAGUCUAUAAUUAAUUAGCUAAGACUAGAGCCACGUAGUUCUUGUGGUUGUACUGUUUUCCUGAGUGGUCGCUCCAUGUUCCAAUUAAGCAUGAUGAUCUUGUAUUAAUAAAAGGUAUAUCAUAAAUAAAACAAGUUUAAUCAUUGAGUUCAUUAAAACCAUCACAAUCCAAGGUAUUGCAACUAAGCAUAUCUACCUUAAAAAAAGGUAAAACCCAGGUUGACAAGGAAUGAUCAUAAAAACUAGGUAAACCUUAAUAGGACCUAUCAAUAUUAAAUGUAGAGCAAUGCAAAAGUGAUUAAAUAUAGUUUUUGGGAUAAAAGUAUAAGGACACACGUGCCUUUCUCCAAAGAAUAGCUGCUCAGAUUAUCUUCCGCUCUUGUUCCUCAAAGCUCUCGAACAAUGUUCCUUCUACUUGCAUCAAUCAUCGGCACAAGCAUACCAAGCAAACAACAAUCACAACUAAGAACAAUACAUCAAUCAUUGGAAAGCUUUAAAAGAGCGUACUAAAGGAUAAGGCUUGAAUCUAAGGUCACGCGAAUGCAAGAAACGCUGGGAACAAAACUAUGGUUGAAAAGACAAAGUUAUCGAGAGAUUUGAAUUAUAAAAGAAAGAGAAAAGCAUAUGUGCUUCAUAUAUUUUAAUAAAACAAUGUAAAGAUAUUUUAGAGAAACAUCCUUAGCAUGUUAUAGUUAUGUAUGAAAAGACAAUGUAGAACUUAGUCAAAUUUUAUUAUAAACAUUCAAGUACAAUUUAUGCAAAUUAAAAAUUUAAUUUGAAAAUAAAGUAUAUGUAAACAUCUAAGCGCAUAGCUUUAUGAUUUAGGUUGAACUAACCAAAUAUAAUUAAAAACACAUUUAUAUUUAUAUUAAAUCAAAUUAACAUAUAAUUAUGAAAACUCGAGAUAUAAAUUAUGUAGCUUUUAUUUAGAAAACAAAUUGAAUAAACAUUUUAAUUAAAGAAGACAUGUUUAACAUGCAUUAAUUAGAUUAAUAUUAAAUUUAUUUUAAAAACAUGCAUGAUGGAAAGAUCGGCACUAACGUGUAAUUUGUGAUUCAGGUUGAACUAACCAAAUAUAAUUCAAAAACACAUUUAUAUUUAUAUUAGUCAAAUUAACAUAUAAUUAUGAAAACCCAAGAUGUAACUUAUGUAGCUUUUAUUUAGAAAACAAAUUGAAUAAACAUUAAUCAAUUUAAGUUUAAUUAUGAACCACCGUGGUGCAUCUCUAAUUCGCUUUUAAUUGAAAGAGUUAUUUAAAUAAGCAUUAAUAACUAAAUUAACAUUUAUUAUGAAAAGCGGUUAUAACACUAAGUAGCUUUUAAUUAAGGAAGACAUGUUUAACAUGCAUUAAUUAGAUUAAUAUUAAAUUUAUUUUAAAACAUGCAUGAUGGAAAGAUCACUACUAACAUGUCCUAAGAAUGGAUAUAAACGGAGCUGUAAUGAGGAGUCCAUGGGUUAAACAAGGUUGCAGGGCCUAAUCGCGAUUAACGGAAGGUUAUUGGGGCUAGCAAGGAAGAUUUGCAAGACACUGGAAUAGAGCUCACCAUUAGGUCAAAGCAUAGGGUUAGAUAUGUUAAAGUGCUCAGGUUAGACUUGGUUGCACGGAUCCAAUCUAAUCAGGGACAUGGAUGAAAAAAAACAAGACACAAGGAAAAACUAACUAUUUGUAGAGCUUUAUAGGGGCCUAUGCGCAAAAGCACCACAGCUCAGCAUCCAUGGUGGACGGGCUCCUGGAUGGCAAAACCCUCGUGUCAGAUUUAUAAGCCUGGUAGUCCACCAAGGGAUUCCCCAAGUGGUUGAUUUGUAGAUGAGGGUGAUUGUGAAACCAAGAACUCGAAGGUGGUCGCGAGAACACGAAGGGACACUUAGACAAGUUCGGACCUUCGGAGAGUAAUACCCUACGUCCUAUAUGCUGGUUUGUAUUGCUUGAGAUUGAUCUAAUUGUUGCGAUACCCUCGGGGGUGCCCUUGGCCGCCUUAUAUAGGCUGACGAUCAAGAGUUAAAAGUCGGUUUGAAUCUAAUCUACUCGGUAGUUACAUGGAAAGUAAUCUGAGUUGGACUACAAUAUGUGUUCCAUGAUAUCUGGGCAGAUUUGAACUAUCUUAUUGCCUUGACUUGCACUCCAAGUAACUUUAUGUCCUCGGCCCGCACGCUCUGAUCGGGCAGGCCCUACUUGUUAGUCCGACCAGUAUCCUGGCCGGUCAGGGCCCAUGGGGUACCCAUAUCCCUUAAGGCCCCAAGCAUUGUGUAGGCAAACAGGAACUUGAUGUCAUCAAAGUGAAACUUGGAAUGAAAUCGGGUGAAGCUGACGAAGAGCCAACGCGUAGAGCGAGGAUGAGUGCCGAGUUGAUGGAUGCUGGCAUCCAGCAGGUCGAAGCGAAGGUUACGGAGGGCGUCGCAAGACGCACUCUGUAGGAGUAGCCCCGGAGCAUUGAAACAAUUAAGAUAAUCAAUACAAUGGUCAAAGAGGAAAAAAUUGUCCCCUGAAGUAGAUCCUUGUGCCCGAACACAAGGAUGGACGCAGCCACGGAGGCCCGCCAACCAGAAGUAGGCACCUAGACUCAAGGACGAGGACUGGUGGGACUGUGGAGCCAUGCCGACCUGAAAUAGGCAUCUAACCCCUGAGGACGAGGACUAGCAGAGCCGCAGAGGCAUGCUAACCUGAAAUAGGUGCCUAGCCCCCGAGGAUGAGGACUGGCGGAGCCAUGAAGGCACGCCGACUUGAAAUAGGUGCCAAGCCCCCAAGGACGAGGACCAGCAGAGCCACGAAGGCACUCUGACCAGAAUUAGGCGUCCAGCCCCCGGGCAUGAGUGCGAGGAUUGGCGGAAGCACAUCGAGUUGCCUCCCUUCCCGGGCUCAGGCAGAGAGGUUGGUCGGGUGACGAGAGGCACACCAAGUCAUCAAUGGUGCCCAGCCGCCGAGCCUAGGAGCCGGACGAGUUGCAAAAGCAUGGCAAGUCACCUCCCGCCCCGAGCCAGAGAGGUCGGCUGGGCGACGGGAGGCACGCCGAGUCAUCUACGGUGCCCAGCCCCCGAGCCUUGGAGCCGGCUGAGCCACAGAAGCACGCCAAGCCGCCUCCCGCCCUGAGCUAGAGAGGUCGUUUGGGUGACAAGAUGCACGCCGAGUCGUCUGCGGCGCCUAGCCCUCGAGCUUGGGAGCCAGACGAGCCACAGAAGCAUGCCAAGUCGCCUCCUGUCCCGUGCUAGAGAGGUCAGCCGGGUGAUGGGAGGCACGUCGAGUAGUUUUUGAGCUAUAAAAGAACAAUACAAUCAUUAUGUAGCAUAAUGUAGAUCAUUUAAUCAUUGAACAACUCGGAAGUUUAAUUCGCUGUAGAAGUAAACUCUUGCGCAUCCUGCUCUUAUAGGCCAAGUAAUUUCCCUAGGUAGUUAUCUUGUUACGUUUAAGCACCUAGCCCUACUGACCACUGUUCACGGAGAGGAUGGUUUAUCUUAGGCUAUAGUGCUGGGGCUGACCCGAUGCUCGCAUAUAGGAACGCGCAGGAUGAGUCAAGGUUUCACGGAUUAAGGCGUGUGCUACCCGAGUACUUUAGCAACCGUUAACAGGGAUGGACAAGUCGCAAAGCAACCGGAACUGUGCGGAAAAGCACCAGCAUGAGUUGGGCACCCAUGGGGUGUAGCCCCCGGCCGCCCGUGUAGUGGACGGAACAAAAGUCACGACAACAUGGAGGAGCCGAGGCUUAUGUAGGUAUAUGGAAGCUGUAAAAUAUUUUAUUGUAAAUAAUACUUAGCUUGAUUCGUGGUCGAGUCAAAGAACCCGCGUGUCAUCUUCGCGUUUAGUCUUAGAAGCCCCUGAGCGUGGUCGGCGGACAGUUGUUGGUGAAGCAAACUAGUCGGGCUCCAUGCCCAACUAAUUCGUGUCGAGUUCGAGUUGUUGGAGUUGUCAGCGGCAGGUUUGUGGUUGCGAUUGUGGUAUGCUGUUGCCAAGUCGAUGUGGCCAUCGGGUCGUGUCCGGCUGGCCGCUACGCUCACAGUACAGCAUGUCUGGGUUGUGCUGCCAAACCAAGGGUGCAUGUACAUCUUUUCGAACCUUGCAAGGAAGCCCUCACGUAUUAAGGAAAUCUAUACCUAAUAUUAAAGCUCCCGCAGCGUGCGCCUAUGCCACGUGUGGUGUGGACGGGUGUGCCGGCUGCGGCUGCGAGCUCCUCACUGCGGCAGGGACCAGGUCGAGCAGCGACAGUGAUGACGAAGGGGAGUAGUCCGCGUCUGCGUGCCAUGCCACCAUCGCCGGGCAAGGUGUGGCAGCGGCGGAGGGGGAGAGUGAGUACAUCGGCGUGCAGCGGCGGCCGUGGGGUAGGUGGGCGGCGGAGAUCCGCGACCCGCACUACGCCGUGCGCAAGUGGCUCGGCACCUUUGACACAGCUAAGGAUGCCACGCGCACCUACAACAUCACCGAUGUCGAGUUUUGAGGCCACUGCACCAAGAUCAACUUCCCCGACAACACGGCCCCCGCGCCCGCACCUUCCUGGGUGCCAAACUCGACAUACCACCACCACGACCACUUGCCGCUGCCGCUGCCCGAGAGCCUACACGAGACCUGCGGGGCGAACGCAUCCUCGUCGAUGGAUGUGGCUCUUGCGGUAGCGGCGUCGGCCGAGCAGCACGGCACGAGGCCGGUGCCGAAGGAGCAGGACAUCUGGGACAGGCUGAACGAGUUCAUGAUGAUGGAUGACGGUAGCUUUUGGUCACCCAUGCUAUGAUCAUCACAUUCUCCUCCAUUCUCCUCUUGUUUUCACUUUCGUUGCUUAGCGGAUAAUGGUGGUCAGCUGGCCUCUGGUCUGUCGUCAAUCGCCAGCCAUCCAUCGCUUUUAUAUGGUUUUGCACUAGCUUUUGGGCUUUGACCACACCCUCCACACCCAUACGAAAUGACUAGGUAGAGUGAUGUUGAUAUACUGCUUGCCGCGCGCUAGGGCGAGCAGCUACUCACUCGGGCUAGAUGCCCUACCCGCCACCUGGACCUAAGAGGUGAAGGAGAGAGGAGGGAGGGGGAAGGAAACAAGGAGCCGAGUGCCUCUUUGCAGUCAACCAAGUAGAGCCAUAUGCCAGCGAAGGCAUGGCGCCAGCGAGGGGGGGGGGCGCAGCGGCAGUCGGUAGGCAACACAAACAGGGGGCGGAGGUCGGGACCUCACAUCCCCCUCUCAAUGAUGUCCAUCCCCUUCAUAUCCAGAACUAAAGCCUCCACAUCUAGCAAUUGGGGGCUCGAUUUUGCACUUGAUUGGAACGAUUUGGAGUGGAUUAUAGAAGGGAAGUGGAUGGAAACGAGAAGAAGAGGAAAACACACUCCUGCUCAUGGCGGCCAGAGGCGCGGUGGCCUAGGUCUCGAAGCAGGAAUGAGGCUAGGCACGGGAAGGACGAGCGUUUGCCUAGGCGACGGUGAGGAUGGCAAGAUGCGUAGCGCCUGGAUGAUGGCGAAGAUAGGGCAUGAUGCGGGUGGCGCCGACGGACGAAGUGGCAUCGACUAGCUAGAUGACGAUGAGUACGGGGGAAAUCGAAUGAAUGGAUAGAGCGGAGGUUGAGCGGUGAUUUUUUUUUAUUUCCAUGUGUGGGUCCCAUGUAAUAAACAGAUGGCAUCAAACCACCCACAAAUAUCUUCUACUACUGUACUGGGAUAACGCAUCAACAUAUGGUGAAGCGAAAUCAACAUAUUAGGAACAAGCAAAUAAUAAUGUGAGAGUAAGUAAGGACUUGUAGCAACGUACAUGUAUUUCUGCUAGUAAGAAAAAAAAUUGUUAGCUGCCGUAGUAAGCACCAAGCAACGUAGGAGAUCUACUGGAUGGAAUAGAUUAAAUAAUAAAGGGAAGGGAGAAUUGUUCCUUUUUUUUGGCAGAUCCGACGUGUCUGCAUGCAACAAGUUGAGGUCGACGUGUUGUGCUAAAUCAACCGGAUCAGACUGGGGCCGGAUCAGGCGAGCUUGGCUGUGGCCGGGAUGAGGCCAAUAAGGGCGUCGCCCUUGACCUUGGCCUCCUGUGCCUCGCGGAUCUUCUACAUCUGGAGCAUCUGCUCCAUGAUGAGCUCGUAGUGGCACUUCUUGUAGGCGUGGCGCUCGGGCUCGCACUUCCAGCGGAGGUAGAACUCGGAGGUGCACGCACUGGUCGUGGUAGGCGAGCGGCACCAAGGCCUCCGCCAUCUCCACCUGCGUGAUGAUCUGGGGCUUCGUGGAGUCGAACUGAAUGCCGGCCAUUGCCGCCGCCUCCAUCUGUCACUUUCUUGCCCUCUCUCUUGCCGGCGAGGUCGUUCCGUUGAUAGAUGGGUGCUGCGGGUUUGGUGCGGCGUGGGUGGGUGGUGUGCAGCAAGGACGUGAGGAACCCUCUCGGAGAGAGAGAUUGCUUACCUACUAGGUAAACGGUGUGAUGAUCCUUUGAUAUAGACCUUGCUCCGCCGGAGUAAAUUCGACAGAUGCCAAGCUGGCGGCGGGCAUUGAGUCGAAGUCCACCGGCAUGCUCCUGAAGUGGAGCUGGAUCGGAUUGGCGAGGAAGUCCUUCAUGCUCUUGGGGAAAACAAUGUCGGGGCGGGAUGCCAUCGAGCUCGCUAGGGAGGAUCUUACAAUCAUCCCUACCUAGCGCGCCAACUGUUGGAUUUAUAAGCCCGGUAGUCCACCAGGGGGUUACCCAAGUAGUUGAUUUGUAGGUGAGGGCAAUUGCAAAAUCAAGAACUCGAAGGUGAUCGCGAAAACACGAAGGGACACGAAGGUUUUAGAUAGGUUCGGGCCUCCGGAGAGUAAUACCCUAUGUCCUGUAUGCUGAUUUGUAUUGCUUGAGAUUGAUAUGAUUGUUGGGAUACCCUCGGGGGUGCCCUUGGCCGCUUUAUAUAGGCUGACGACCAAGAGUUACAAGUCGGUUUGAAUCUAAUCUACUCGGUAGUUACAUGGAAAGUAAUAUGAGUCAGACUACAAUACGCGUUCCAUGAUAUCCAGGCAGAUUUGAAUUGUCUUGUUGCUUUGACGUGCACUCCAAGUAACUUCAUGUCCUCGACCCGCACGCCUUGGUCGGGUCGGCCCUACUUGUCAGGUCUGACCAGUAUCUUGAGGUACCCAUAUCUCUCACCUUGGUGCUCCGGCGAUUAGGGUCAGUGGCGAGGAUGGGGAUUGGAAGAGGAGAUCGAGGGGACUUUAUGGAGAUGCUCACCGGCGACGAGGCGGACGGAUUCUGGCCAGUAUUUGGCUGGCGGUGGAAGAACACGACAGCUGGCUCAAGUCUUCGUGAGUGAUGGUACUCCGGCGGUGGAGCGACGACGACGACUGGUGGCAGAGCUGCUCCUCGAUGUCACGGAGCUCCCUAAGGCUCUAGCUUGCUCCGAUGGUCGACGAGCACAGCGAAUCGGCCAGAGAAGGACGGCAGUGGCUCCUAGCUCUGGCGGAUGUGGGGGAUGGCAGUGCUCGUGCAAGCUAGGAAGAGUGGCGGUGUGAGGCAGGGCAAUAGCAGGGGCACAAUCUCGACUUUUAUAUGUGCGUGGGUCCGCGCCUGCCUUGGCACGCAUGCCGAGGUUCGGCGGUGGCGAUGCCCAAGUGCAGCUACGCUUGGCCUCGACCCGCUGUUGGUCGAUGGGCCUAGCGGGCCUAGCCGAGCCAUCAACUGGGCCGGGUCAGUGCAGGUUAGUUGGAGAGGGUCGGGCCCCAAAGACUUGGCCCCAUCGAUUAGGAUUUUUCUUUUUUUCAGAAAUGAUUUCUCGUGAAAGAAAAAUCCAGAAAAAUUCUAGAUAAUUAAUUUAAACAAUGAAAAAACUCUAAAAAUCCAAAAAUUUCAGGAAAAAUCAUCUCUAGUUUGGGACAUGAGGAGUCCAAAUAAAAUACUUGGACCUCGUGAAAAGGAUUCUAGAACCUUCCAAAAAUUGGAUUUAGCUUUAGAAAAAAAUGAGAAUAAAUCUUAGAAAAAUCUGAAAAUUCUCAUAAGAACCUAAUCAGCAUCUAAACGCAUUCCAAAACCUUUGCACUUAUGAAAUACCAAGAUGCAUUGGUGUGAAUGCAACCCAUACACAAUCAUUAUAUUUAAUUCAGAAAAACACUCAAUUGUUUUCCUAUACUAAAUUUCCUCUUAAGAAAAUAAAUGUUGGAAAAAUUUUAAAAUUGUGAAAAAAUUAUUGUUUAAUUAUUCUUUUUAAUCAAAUCCUGAAAUUUCAAAAAUUUUAAGGUGAGGCAGAUACCCUCAGGUUUACAGAAUUUGACAUCCAUGUGCAAAUUGGAUCUAUCCUUCCAUGAUCUACAAGGUGAAGUGCCAAAAGUUUUUUUUUGGCAAAUGCAACUUACAUGUCGAUUUAUGGAAAUGAUCAGCUUUGUGGUGGAAAUACCUCAACUUCAUUUAACUCCAUGCUCCAUGUCCAGUGCAAAAAAGAAAAAAAAGGAAAUUUGUCGAAAACCCUUGUGAUCACCCUAACAUCAAUCGGUGCAGUUGUAUUCUCAGUUUCAGUACUUACUGUAAUUGUGUUGAUCUGUAAGAAGCUUAGGAAAAGGCACGAAAGUCAACUCAUAUCCACAACUGAGGAACGGUAUGAAAGAGUUUCUUAUCAUGCUUUGUCAAAUGGGACCAAUGGAUUUUCAGAGGACAAUUUACUUGGACAAGGAAGCUAUGGCAUGGUUUAUAAAUGUACUUUACAUGACCAGGGCACUACAGUAGGCUACUGUAAAGGUGUUUAACACACAACAAUCUGGGACUUCUAGAAGUUUUGUCGCUGAAUGCGAGGCACUCAGAAGGGUGCGUCCUCGUUGUCUCGUAAAGAUCAUCACUUGUUGCUCAAGCAUCAAUCACCAGGGUCAAGAGUUCAAGGCACUAGUUUUUGAGCUCAUGCCAAAUGGUAGCCUAAAUGGUUGGCUUCACCCAGAGUCUGACACACUUACCCAGACAAAUACCCUUAGCCUUGAACAAAGGCUACACAUUGCUGUCGAUAUCCUGGAUGCUUUGGACUAUCUUCAUAAUCACUGUCAGCCAUCAAUCAUUCAUUGCGAUCUCAAGCCAAGCAACAUCUUUCUUGCGGAGGACGUGAGUGAGUGCCCGAGUUGGAGGUUUUGGCAUACGAAGAAUCCUUCCAGAAAGUGCUAGUAAAACCCUGCAAAAUUCGAAUAGCACAACUGGAAUAAGAGGCACCAUUGGUUAUGUUGCACCAGGUAAUGAAAGAGAUAUUUUUGGUAUUUGUAAAAUGUUCUUAGUUCUUACGUAUACAUGACCUGCUGACCUUUGGAUUUUUUCCCCAAUCAGAGUACGGUGAAGGUUCUUCUGUCUCAACUCAAGGUGAUGUUUAUAGCCUCGGCAUAUUGCUGCUUGAGAUGUUUACUGGAAGGAACCCAACAGAUGAGAUAUUCAAUGAUUCUUUGGAUUUGCACAAGUUUUCAGAGAAUGCUCUUCCAGAGAGAAUAUGGGAUAUAGUUGAUCCGACAAUACGGAUGCACACAGAUGCCUAUAACAGCACUAUAAGAAGUGGAAUUAAGAAUUGCUUGGUUUAUGUUGUUUCUCUUGGAAUAUCAUGCUCGGAGAAACAACCUAGGGAGCGGAUCCCGAUUCUGGAUGCAGCCAUUGAGAUGCACGCUAUUAGAGAUUCGUAUCUCAAGUUUGCCAGAUCUCUUUUGGUGGAGCAUGGAGUAGUAGCAACAACUCACAGUGAUUUUCCACAACAGUGAAUACAUAGGACUGAAAAUGCGCAAGAUGUCUGCAGAUGAUCAGUUUACCUGAAAUAACUGAAGAUGUAUGAAGCUUCAGCUUUAUAAUUUGUCCAUGCAUUUGUUUGCAUCAGAUAUAUGGAAGUAUAAAAUAAGUUUAGAAAAUGUUUCAAAAUAGAUUAGAUCCAGAGGUUUUAGUUGUCGUUUGUAUGACACAUUUUUGUAGAGAAUUCAGUAAUAUGUAUGAUUCAUAAUACAAUCAAUGCUCUGCAAAUUUCAGAUAGCACAAUUGGAAUAAAAAGCUCAUUCCUUGAUUAUGUUUCUCUAGGUAACUCAACUUAUUGUGAUGUUCACUGUAGAUUUCUCCAUGGUCCAAACGACCUUUGUGAUCAGUUAUGUUUAUGCAUUUUGUAGAAUUGUAAAGUCUUUCCCUAACCUGCUGACAUAUUAGCCGGAGCAUAGCACUUUGCCGUUCUGUACCACUCGCCUCUAGGAGGCGCUUGCCGCUUGGUGGCUGCCGUGGCGACCGACGGCAUCCGUACCUGCUCUGUCGGAGAUGGGUGGAGCUGCUCUGCUCUGCCGGUACGAGCUCACUCGCGCCGUGAAUGGCGCGCGCCUCUAAGGUCUCAUCAGCUGCAGGUGCAGAUGGGUGGAGAGCUUAGCGGCGCUAGGUCUUCAGAAGAUGGGGCUUUGCAGCUCUGAAUGGUGAGGCGGGCAGGGACGACGGAGCUGGACGCGUGGGGAGGAGACGAUGGGCAUUUCUGAUAAUAGUUGGAUCGCGAUCCAAAUUAGGGGGCUAUUUACAAAUAAUAGGGGGUAUUCCGUAAAUAUUCGGAUCGCGAUCAUUAAUCGCGAUCCAAAUGAGGGGUUAAUUGAAAUUAUGAUGGGGUGUCUUUUGAAAUUCCGGAUCGCGAUCCCAUCCUCCGCCGCGGCUCGCCGGAGCGCCGCCAGACGCCGGCCAUCCCUUGGGGUACCUCUUCUUCCUUCCGCUUGUCGGAGCCCUAAGACGUGGUCGGUGUUUGAUCUGACAAGGAACCUUGAAGUCCGGACUAACUGAAGAAGACAGACAUGAUGCUGACCUGGAAGACGACGGCCUCGCCAUGGCUGGAUGCGGCGCGGUGGAAGGACAGUGUGGUGGAGGGCGUGGUCCACCACAUUCCGUCGACGGGCGGCGCACUUGCUGUCGCCUGUCGGCUACUUCCAGGCCGUAGCUGAGCUUCAGAGUUCAGACAGGGUGCUUGUGCUUGCAACAAGUUCAGAACGAUGUCAUUAAUUUGAUGCAGAGGAUGGAGCAAACCGGUUGCAAAUUGGAUUCUGAUACAUAUAACUUAAUAUUGAACCUUUAUGUCGAUUGGAAAUAUGAGAAGGGGUGCACCAAAUAUGGGAUGAGAUGGAGAGGAGUGGAUCAGGCCCAGAUCAACGAUCAUUUACUAUUAUGGUUCAUGGUCUUCAUUCCCAAGGAAAGCUUGAUGAGGCUCAACAAUGAAGUCAAGAGGGUUGAUCCCUGAACCAAGGACCAAGAUACUGGUGAAAGCUAUACAUAUGAAGAAAGAUGGGGCUGUCACAGAAGAUCAGUCUGCAAAUAUGACAGGGAAGAAUCUAAAACUGGAUCCACGAUCUAGACUAUUCCAUGUUCAUAAAUAGUUUGCUGUCAGAUCUUACUUCUAUAACCUGAACAGAGGAUUGCUGGGCACGUAUUAUGUGUCAAAAGAAUAUCUUCUACCAGUGUCCAGAUCACAAUGGCCACACCUUGGGCUACAAUAAAUCAUCAGCAAAGUGUAUUGGCAUUAUGUAUCCCAGAAAGUUUUGCUCAGACUUUCAAUGCCAGGGUAUGCUUUUUAUGUCUGAUACGGAUCAAUUGCCAGUACUGUAUUACACCGCUCGUAUUAUGAAGGUUAUGUGAAAUAUGACAGAUGUUUGUUUAUUCAUCUGUUAUGCAUGGCUGUGUCUACUGUCUAGUUCUUGGCUUGUUGCCAACAUAUGCAGCAGCAGGUAGCUUCAGCCGCUCAGAAGCCCAAAUGAAGGAUGGCCCAGGCAGAAUAGCUAUGUCUAGACCCAGAAAGCUUAGGACAUGUCUUGCCAGCCUGCAGUUUUGUACUCGUAGCACCAACCAUCUCCGGGUUCUGGCCGGUUAUAUACAUGAUCUGGAAUGGGCAUCCGCUGAUCGAUUGAAACCUUGAGUUGCUUCCGUGUGUCUUUUGCCAUCUAUAUAUUAUGGUUAGUCAACGGCAUGCAGUACACCCAUGCAUAUGAUUGCAGUAGGAUGACAUGGCGCGACCAGAACCCUUCUUUUGCCAGUUUUAGAUUCUUAUACACGGCCAACUGACGCAGCAGGGAGUGGCAUGCUAAGCAGUUCAGCGUAGGUGGUGUGUUCUUAACUCUGAUAUGGCUUAUGGAAGAACACUGUCACGGUGUCACUGUCCAACCUCUUACUAGGGACAGCAAUGGCCCUGUCCACUGUUUCGUGGCUGGUAUUAUUACCCCUAUGCAGUGAAUCUGACAUGUGGAUCUAUGUGUAUAUUAUGUCGUCAAAAGAACAUUAUUUGAACUCUAUUUGUGGCGCCACCUUUGAUUCUAUUAAUGUGUCAUGGUCAAUUGAUGUCAAACUCUAUUAUCUUCAAGUCUUAUUGUAUUGAUAAAAUCACGAUGCUGCUACUGCCAUUUUGAUGUUUAUAAAAGGGUAUUGAGAACCUGGUGGGUAUCCAUUCGAUGCGCAGGGGUGGGGGUGGGGAAAAAUGAGUGUAAAGGAUAGGGAUACAGUAUUUAGAAAGAUGGGGCUGCCACAGAAGAUAGUCUCCAAGUAUGGCAGGGAAGAAUCUAAAAACUGAUUCCUUGAUCAAGACUGUCCCAUAUUCAUAAAUAGUUCACUGACAGAUCUUGCUUGCAUAUUCUGAACAGCUGAUGCUGGGCACAUAGGAGGUUAACCGGUCAGCGGAUCGAAGGAAAAAAAAAUCUUGCCUGUCAGUGUCCACAAUGGCCUCAUCUUGGGUUAGAGACAAUCAUCCCUAAAGAAUCAUAUUGCCGGAUAAGGUUAUCUGUGAUUGGUGGGUGCAGAUCCAUGCUCAUCCUAGAAACAAGCCAGGGCUAAAUGCGCCACUCAUUUUAGAUGCUUGGAUGUUGUGGUCACACCGAAAUGAUCGUGUGUUUAAUGGAGUUUCCCAUAGUGACUAGCGUGCAGGCUGUCCUCGUAUUCGAGAAAAAAAAAAUCAAUGGGCGAAAUAUUUUCACCCAGGUAAUUGUUGCAUUGUAUGAAUAGGUUAGAGUAUGAAUGUGCGUGUACUGUGACACAAGAAGAUUUAUCAUAUCCAUAUAUGAAUUAGUGUUAAAUUUGCUACAUAAAUAUCUUCUCUUAUCUCAUUGUAUGUGUAUAUAUGACACAGAAGCACAUGUAUAUCGGCAUUGUAGAGAGAGAGAUGAGAGAGAGAAGCUUAUCUGCUUUUUGGAGAUAAAUAUUCAAAUUACUGGUGUAUGAGAGGGAUAUAAUUAUUCUAUUAAAUUGUUUAUUCAACAUCUAAAAAGAUUCCAAUGUUUAGUCAUCUAUAUAGGCAUUGUAGAGAGAGAGACUAGUGUUCAGCUGGUUGGAAGGAUGAGAGAGAGGAGAGAGUUCAGAUGAGAAAGAGACUAGUGUUUAGCUGGUUGGAAGGAUGAGAGAGAGAGAUAGAGUAGAGUUUGGAUGAUAGAGAGAUUAGUGUUCACCUGGUUGGAAGGAUGAGAGGGAGAUGAGAGAGUUCAGAUGAGGAGGUGGAGAGUUUGGAAGAGAGAGAGAGAGGUGAGAGUUUGGAUGAGAGAGAAAGCAGCUAAGAAGGAUGAGAGAGAGAAAGCGGUAUUCAGCUGGAUGGUGGAGACUUCAUAUAUUACUUAGCGUUGCUACGGCGAAACGACGUUGCUUAGCGCGCGAUGUUUUUAUCGUGUCGUGUAGCGCACCACAUUUUUUAUCGUGUUGUGUAACUUUUUUAUUUUAGUAGUAUUAGACUUUUCAUACAUAAGGGGCCACGUGAGUGUGUCCAUAUCCCAACCGUGCGGAGACCGCUUGUCAUUGAAUUUGUUAUCUCUUGCUCUAUCUUGUGAUUGGUAGGCUUCUACAGCAAUUCUGCACAAAGAAGGCCCCACUUCGCCCCACUCCUGACGUCCGGUUAUUCCCACGCCUGCCCUCUCCCUCUCCAAUCCUCACCGCCAGCUCCUCAGGGUCUAGGUCGGCCCGUGAUGUAGUGGCCUAUUAUCCUUCCACCGUUGGAAGCGAGCAGUGAUCGCUGCUCUGUGAACCUAGCCUCAAGCUGUUCCUACCACUUCAGGUCCAGUGAUGCCCGAGCUUUCGCUUGGCCCGAACAGGCCACUACCAACUUGGAACGGGCAAGGCCAGCAAGGGCACAGAAUAGACCCAAGCCCAGAGUCCGCGCCCAACCAUCCACACCACCUUAAUGCCCCCACUUGGGUUACAAGCCCGCGCAACCAAGCUCGGUGAGGAUGGCUCGUGAGGACGAACAUUUAAGCUGGUGCGUUGCUGCUUCAGAUGGCGAGGUGAUACUAAUAUAACGAAUAGGAAAAUUUCACGUGGGUCCCAUGCCGCACCCACCCCUAUCCUUAUCCUUUCUCAUCUCUCUACUGUCUGUCCGGUCCUUAUCCUCCUCAUCUCAUCUCUCUCUCUCAAUCCCUCUCUCUCAAACUCUCUAUCUCUCCUAUCCCCUCUUUCUCUGGAGAACGCGGUGCACGGCCAGCCCCAGCGGCGGCCUGGAGGCGCGAGGUGCCGCCGGCGGCCGAGGGUUGCGGGGCUGCGGCAAGGAGCCUCCUGGCUGUGGAUGCGACGGCCUAGCCACGGGUGCCGGGCCGCGUCACACCGCGCGCUGCUGCCGUCGAGCGGGCCGCACGCACUGCCCACACACCAGGCGGCGUGGGCGGCCAGGCUGAGCGGCGCGGCCGGGGCUGGGGAGGCGACUCUGGUGCGGCCGAGGUAGCUUGGGCACGGCCGGCUGUGGUGGGUAGGGAGAGGUGGACGGCGGCACAACGGCAGCGCGGAGAGGCGGACGUCAGGCACGAACGGGUGAAAGGGGAGACUGGGAAAGAAAGCUGGACCCACCUAUCAAUGCAGCCGGGGCCGGGGCAGCGCGGGCGGCUGAGGCCGAGGCCAGGCGGCGCGGUCGGGGCCAGGGAGGCGGCUCUGGUGCAGCCAGCCGUGGCUGGCAGGGAGAGGCGGACAACAGCGCAACGGCGGCAUGGAGAGGUGGACGUCAGGCACGGGUGGGUGAAAGGGGAGACGGGGAAAGAAAGCUAGACCCACCUGUCAAUGCGUUAAUCUUACCUAUUAUUAAACAUCAGGGCCACCUCUCAUUGAUAGAAGUUGGACCAAACCAAAAAAAAGUGGGCAGAAGUGUUCCUCACUUUAAUAGUAACAAUAAAGUAUAGAUAAUGCAUCCAAACAACAUUUGGAAUUUAAUUCUAAGAAAAACAAAAUAUGAUUCAUGGAAUGAGUUUCAACUCUAGGAAUCCAAACAGGCCUUAGUUAUUUCUUAUGUAGCUCAAAUCAGAUGCAAGGUACGUCCUAACUUAAAAAACGUAAGUUACUUUGUGUUAUCUUGUGAAUCAGUGAUUAAUUACUUCCAAUCUUAUGUAAAAAGAACUACGAGUUAAAUUCUUUGUCAGAUUUAUACUGACAAGUUACAAGCACAUACCUCUGCAGUAACAGGCGAGCCCUAGACUAGUGGGCAAACCAAAAACAACAUGAUUCGUCAACUGAUCGAAUGCUAAUGACUAUUUUGCUAGGAGAAUGAACAUGAUUCAUGAAAAAAAGGGAGCUACUAACUUGGUCAAGGUCUCCGUCCUCUAGCGUGGGGAAGGGGCCAUCUUGCUCCACGCCACGUCUGCGUGGUUGCUCGGCGGGCGCGACGGCGUCGGCUGCGGAGUGCGGACGGCGCGUAGAUAUGUCAUUGUUGAUCAGGACAUGCACUGCUAUCACCGUCUGUUAUUGGUCAAGGUCUCCGUCCUCUAGCGUGGGGAAGGGGCCAUCUUGCUCCACUCCACGUCUGCGUGGUUGCUCGGCAGGCGCGACGGCGUUGGCUGCGGAGUGCGGACGACGCGUAGAUAUGUCAUUGUUGAUCAGGACAUGCACUUCUAUCACCGUCUGUGGUUGGCGUCCGCGGCCGAGCGGGUCAAGGUCUCCGUCCUCUAGCGUGGGGAAACAGGAUCUCUUCAAUCAGUGCUUCUACAGAAACGGUGCACGGUCACCACGGACCAACGACAUACCAUGAGAAAAGCAGAGCGAAAUGUUGCAGUAGCAGAGUGACCGGAGACUGGAGAGCACUUGCUGCUAAAAGCUGCCUCUUAUUUUGUAUCGUCUUAACAGAAGACUUUAAGUCAACCGCCAUUCGAUUCCAAUAUAAACUAGCAAGUUGGCCCGCGAUAAUACUGCGGCUAGAUUUGAUACAGUAUAAUUUUUUUAAAUACUAUGUUAGCUUAGUAUAUUUCUUUGUCCCUCUUGAUUUGUUUUUCAUCCUCUUGAAAUCACUGAGUAUAGUUAGGUGCCUUACUCUACACAUUGAGUAUCAAGCCAUAUGUGUAUAUUUGUUUUUUUGCAAAUGAACUCCGAUGCCACAUGUGCAUAUGCACGCCUAAUUAAAAUUGCUCACUUGUAACAAAAUAAGAACAACUUGAGUAGUUGAUUCUGAUCUUAUGUUGAAGUUUUUGCCAACUUUUCCUAGUAUUGUUGUGUUGAGUAGAAAGCCUGUGUAGAGAAAGAUACAAAACAAACGAUCGUGUCAACUACUCCCCAUGCUUGCUCAAAUGAUUUUGAAAAAAAAAAACAACCGCGCUCUAAGUCCUAGGGCGGUGAUAUUCCUCCUUACUUUCCUCCUCUUGUUUUCCAUGCACAAUCGAGGAUGACAAAUACCACAAACCACUUAGGCUCGAUCAUGUUUCAUCAUCACAUUCCUCAAAUCUUGAUCACGUUGUUGUCUUCAUUAUGCUAGCAGUACACAUCUCUCCGCCUCUUCUAUUCCACAAAACCAUAAUUGUUCACCGGCUCCAGCAUUGUUGUUGCUCUCCACCAAUCGAGGAAGCUCUUGUCCUUGACAUCACCUUAUCCACUGACCAGCUGAAGUUAUCUGUACAUCCAAAGGUCUCAUAAGAUUUUUGCUGGAUUUGCAUUAAUAUUAAUAUUGCCACCAAUCUAGUCUCAACCUCGCCUUGUGUUCUCCGUGGUCAUUUUUUAUUCUAACUUGCAAGCUCCACAACUACAUAUGAUGGUUCUUCUAUAUACAUAAUAUAUCGCAUCUUCUAAGACAUAUAUCGCGGGCCGGCGGCGCGCGGGGGAGCGGCGCCGGUGGAGCGGAGGCGACCGGUGGUGGGCGGAAGCGGGUGGGCGCGAGCGCGGGUGGAGGCGGAAGAGCGUGCAGGCGGAGGCGGAUGGGUGGAGGCGUGCAGCGGCGGCGGGCGCGGGCGUGUGGCAGCAAGGCCGGCGGCGCGGGGAGGCGGAGACCGGUGGCGGCCAGCCGGCGAGCGUGGGGAUUCUUUUUAUUUUUUUCGAAAUUUUUUAGUCCCGAUUAGUGGUUGGUAACCCAACCGGGACUAAAGGGGACCUUUAAUUCCGGGUGGAUGACCCGGGACUAAAAAUCUCCUCUUUUGUCAAGCCAUCACUAUUGUCCAUAUCACAACGCCUGUGCCUUCUCUUGUUGUCCUCCCCCUUCCCUCUACCUUGCACCUUCUGUUUUCCUGAUCCUAUUGCCAGUUUGUUGCAGCCAUUUAUGGGCACCUCUUUCAUCCAUUGUCCACUGUUGUUGCCCGCUGCUUCAGUUCUUCUCUGACCAAAGCGGUCGUAUCGCGCUGGCCGGUAGGAAGCCAUCAUCUCGCAAAAGCGUCAUCGUCGUCGCCAAACCACAUCUAGCCGAUGCCGAACCAUACUUGCCAUCUUCUUUGCCAAUUUGCCGCUAUGGAAGCCUCCAUGCAUCGCUCAUCAAGUCUAUCCUAUCUCUAUCAGCUCCUGUGGUAUCCUGUUUUGUUUUUGCCUCAACCACGAAGCCAUAGGUUGCUGGUGCUAAAUUGCAGGGCUAGCAACAGGUAUUUCCUCUCCCUGGCCUUGCGGCCAUGCUAUGUAUUUUUCUCUUUAAAAAAAUUACAAUGAUUUAAUCCUAAUGUUCCGAUCAUGUGUGAUUGGUUUAUUAAUUAAAGUUAGAGUUAUACUUGAGUAUAUUAUAUAAAAAUAAUAUAUAUAUAUAUAUAUAUAUAUAUAUAUAUAUAUAUAAGUUACCAUACAAAGUACAACUUCCUACAAGGUGGAGAGGUUCGGAUGGAAUUUUGAUUCAACUUACUCUAUUCUAGAUAUUAGAGUUGUACUAGCAAAAUAUGCUAGUAUGUUGCUACGGUAAAAGAUCAAUUGUGUUUUUCAAAUUAAUAAUAUUUUUUAUUUUCAUAACUAAAUUUUUAUUCCACUUAUUGGAUGUCCACACAUUUAAUAGAAAACUAAAAGAAUUUUUUAUUCAAGCAAGAUAGUUAAAUCAGCCUCCGAUGGCCACCGACGGGGGCUCUUUAGGACUCCUUUAGCCCCGGUUGUAAAGCUAGUGGUCCUCGGGAUUCUGGUGAGGCGUUUUGUCCCGGUUGUAACUACCAACCGAGACUAAAGGGGGGGCCUUUAGUCCCGAUCAGUGUUUCCAACACAGACAAAAUGCUCCUCACCUCCACAUACACAAUGCGCGUGCCCCAAUUUCUCUCCUCCCUCCCCUUAAUUCCAGCGGCCAGGCCUCCUCUCCUUAAUUCCAACACCCACAUGCCUCCUCUCCUCCUCCCUUCACCCCCUACCUCCUCUCCUCCCUCUCUCUCUCUCCUCCGCCGGAUCCGGCCGGCCCCCACUCCCUCUCCCCAAGCUCCUCCCUCUCCCUCGGCCGAGGCGGGUGGCGCAGCCGGGGCCAGGGCGGCGUGGGUGGCCAGGGUCGGGGCCAGGGAGGAUGAUAGGUGGUUAUGAGGAUGAUACCUGCAGAUAAUACUUUUAAUCUCAAUUCUUACAGAAGAAUUGCACUAUGAACUACGCUUUCAUUUAUACCACACCGCUCAGCUAUAAAAAAUGGUGCAAAUCGACCAAAAUAAAUGAAUAAAUCACAUGGUUUAGACUGGUGGCAUAUGUAUGUUUGAUGAGUUUUGAAUCCCAACAGACCUCUGUUUGCUUAUCCAACCGGAGGAAAAACCUUUACUUACUAAAUCAGCUUUGCAUGCCAGGCUGCAAUUGUUAGAGCAGAAUUAGGUAAUUUGUGAACAUAAUUGAAUCAAAGUUUUGUCUCUGACAAGUAAUAGAAAAUGGUAAUGCUCCAUAGCAAGAACACGUUCCUACACUAGUUUAAAAAAUUCCCUGAAAUUGGGAACAAUGGUCAAGUCCAAACCAUACUUGCAACUUGGAGGACCGCUGGCCGAUGUAAGUCAAAGUCAAAAACAGAAGGAGACAGCGACGUCUCACCAGAUCACGAAUCAGAUGCGAUGCAUGUGCAUGUUCAGCAAGACAUUGAAAAGCAAGCUCUUCAAUACGCUCCAGCCCAGCUCCACCAUGGCUUUGGCAAUGCGCGUCAUGAGCUUGCUUCCUGCCACCAUCGCCGUGAUGAUCGCAGUGGCCUCUUGGGGAGCGCACGGCGGUGCCAGCGACGAGGCCAGCGCGCUGCUUGCUUUCAAGGCUCAGCUCGCCGGCAGCGGUUCCGGCAUGCUUGCAUCCUGGAAUGGCACCGCUGGCGUCUGCGGCUGGGAGGGCGUGGCGUGCACCGGCGGCCAGGUAGUGGCACUGAGCCUGCCCUCCUAUGGGCUCGCCGGAGCCCUCUCCCCGGCCAUUGGGAACCUCACUUUCCUGCGGACCCUGAACCUGAGUUCCAACUGGUUCCAGGGGGAGGUCCCAGCAAGCAUCGGCCGCCUAGCGAGUCUGCAGACGCUUGAUCUGAGCUACAAUACGUUCUCUGGUACGCUUCCUUCCAACCUCAGUGCCUGUGUCAGCUUACUGCUGUUGAGGCUCAGUAGUAACCGGUUCCAUGGGCGUAUCCCUGUUGAGCUUGGAGACAAGCUAACAAGUCUUCAGAUGUUGUCACUGCGCAACAACAGCUUGACGGGUGCCAUACCAGGAUCACUAGGUAACCUGUCAUCCCUGAUCUACCUUCAUCUGACAGAAAACCACCUCGAGGGUCCGAUCCCACAUGAACUUGGCAGCAUGGGCGGCCUGCAGGUCCUUUUCCUCUAUGAGAACAGACUCUCCGGUGUGCUUCCACACUCCCUGUACAAUCUGUCCUCACUGAAAAGCUUGUGGGUAGGAUACAACAUGCUGUCUGGAACCAUCCCUGCUGAUAUCGGCGAUAGGUUCCCCGGUAUGGAAGCUCUUGACUUUUCUAGCAACCGAUUCAGUGGAGCUAUCCCACCUUCGCUCGCCAACCUCUCUGCUCUCACAAAACUAGUCCUUCAAGGAAAUGAUUUUAUUGGAUAUGUGCCUUCUGCUUUGGGGAAGUUAAGUCUUACUGCCCUUUACUUGGGUGACAACAGGCUAGAAGCAAACGACAGUCAAGGGUGGGAAUUCAUAGCUUCACUGGCAAACAGCUCCCAGCUUCAGCUUCUUGUUCUCGGCAACAACUCUUUCAGCGGGCAACUGCCUAAUUCAGUCACAAACCUGUCAUCAACUCUGCAAGGUCUUUAUUUGGGACCCAAUAUGAUUUCUGGGAAUAUUCCAAUAAACAUCGGAAAUUUGGUUGGUCUUACAGUACUUGAGAUGGCAAAUACUUUUGUAUCUGGACAGAUUCCAGAGAGCAUUGGUCAGCUAAGAAACUUGGUUCAGCUAGCCCUUUACAACACUAGCUUGUCAGGCCUCAUACCUUCAUCACUAGGAAAUCUUACACAGUUGAAUAGCCUUUUAGCAUACUAUGGAAACUUAGAGGGGCCAAUUCCAUCAAACUUGGGGAACUUAAAGAAUGUGUUUUCCUUUGAUCUCUCAACAAAUCGACUCAAUGGUUCAAUUCCUAUAGAGGUUUUAAAACUUCCUCGACUUUCCUGGUACUUAGACUUAUCAUAUAAUUCAUUAUCCGGGCCACUUCCAACUGAGGUUGGUACCAUGGUGAAUCUUAACGAACUGAUUCUGUCUGGAAACAAGUUGUCAGGCACCAUACCAGCUAGUGUUGGGAACUGUAUAUCGUUGGUACGGCUGCUGCUCGAUAACAACUUAUUAGAAGGAAGCAUACCGCAAUCUCUGAAGAACUUAAAAGGUCUUGAAUUACUGAACCUAACAAUGAAUAAGCUAUCUGGUAGUAUUCCUGAUGCCCUUGCUAGCAUUGGCAACCUGCAACAACUGUAUCUUGCACACAACAACUUGUCAGGUUCCAUCCCCAAAGUUCUACAGAAUUUGACAUUGUUGGCAAAACUGGAUUUGUCCUUCAAUGAUCUGCAAGGCGAAGUGCCAAAAGGGGGUCCUUUUGCAAAUGCAACUCGCUUGUCACUUGAUGGAAAUGAUGAGCUUUGUGGCGGAAACCCUCAACUUCAUUUAGCUCCGUGCUCCACAGCUGCUGCGAGGAAGAACAGAAGGCGAAUGUCAAGAUCACUUAUGGUCACCGUUGCGUCAAUCUGCGCAUUUCUAUUCUUAGGUUUAAUAGUUUGUCUUAUCCAUUUGAUCCACAAGAGGCUCAGACAAGGAAAGGAAAAUCAACUCAUUCCCACAGCAAUUGAUGAACAGCACCAAAGGGUUUCAUAUCAAGCAUUAGCAAAUGGGACUGACCAUUUUUCGGAGGUUAAUCUGCUCGGACAAGGAAGCUAUGGUGCAGUUUAUAAGUGCACUUUACAUGACAAGGGAAUUACCGCAGCUGUAAAGGUAUUCAACGUACGGCAAUCUAGGUCUACUAGAAGUUUUGUGGCUGAAUGUGAGGCACUGCGAAGGGUGCGCCACCGAUGUCUCAUAAAGAUCAUCACCUGUUGCUUAAGCAUUGAUCACCAAGGCCAAGAAUUCAAGGCACUGGUUUUUGAGUUCAUGCCCAAUGGUAACCUAAAUGAUUGGCUGCAUCCAGCAUCCAAGAUACAGAGUCUGAGCAAUACGCUCAGCUUAGCUCAGAGACUGAACAUUGCGGUAGAUAUCAUGGAUGCUCUGGAUUAUCUUCACAAUCAGUGUCAACCGC
This 45648-nucleotide long non-coding RNA is filed under the name Setaria italica (foxtail millet). RNAcentral describes it as "long non-coding RNA (SITA_LNC003515)". Lineage: Eukaryota; Viridiplantae; Streptophyta; Magnoliopsida; Poales; Poaceae. The record is from RNAcentral.